GGUCAGUCAUGGGCCUUGGACGUAGCCGCAGGAACCAAAGGGGCCCGCAUUUGGGCCCGAACCGGGUGUAGCUUCGACGGUUCAGGGCGCGGUGGAUGCACGACCGGGGACUGUGGCGGUGUUCUUGAGUGCACCGCAUACGGUAGACCUCCCAACACCCUAGCGGAAUACGCGCUGAACCAGUUCAACAAUUUGGACUUCUUCGACAUCUCCCUUGUAGACGGUUUCAACGUUCCGAUGGAGUUUAGCCCAACGUCGAAUGGAUGCUCACGUGGCAUAACAUGCAAUGCUGACAUCAACGGACAGUGUCCCUCUGAGCUGAAGACUGACGGCGGUUGCAACAACCCAUGCACUGUCUUCAAAACCGAUGAAUACUGUUGCAAUUCUGGAAGCUGUUCUGCAACUACUUUUUCCAAAUUCUUCAAGGAUAGGUGCCCCGAUGCUUAUAGUUAUCCCAAAGAUGACCAAACCAGCACCUUCACAUGCAACGGUGGAACUAACUAUAAGGUUGUCUUUUGUCCUUGAACCAAACUUCACCUUCAAACCCGCCUUUUAUAUACCAUAACUACUCCUCCACUACAUAUAUGUAUCACUCAAAAUAAACAAAAUAAUUAAGACGUUCGCACUUUGGUGUGCCCUUCUAUAACUACAUGUGUUUGCACUUCUACCAUUGAAAUGGGUACUUUCUGAAUAAUUUCUUUUGGCUCCUCCUUCCAAACUAUAACAUUAUAAGUAUUAAAUGUAUACCAGUAAUCUAAUCAAGAUGAGCUAGUAUUAAUUUCAUUUUCUAUUUGAUAUAUUUAUAUUUAUUAAAAAAAUCAUUCAAUAGAAAUCAAUUUUAAAACUAAAAAAUAAUUAAUUGUUAUAUUAACUAAUUAGAUACAUCAUAGACUAGAAUUUUUUUAGUUUCUAAAUUAGUUUUUAUUAUUGAUAAACAGUUUCUAAAUUUGUAUUUAAUUAGUUAUCAAAGUUUUUGCUACCAAAUUUAAAAUCUAAAUAAUUGGUAGUUAAAACCUUGGGAACUAAUUAGAUACCAAUUUAGAAACUAUUUAUCAAUAAUAAAAACUAAUUUAGAAACUAAUAAAUUUUGUAAUCUAUAAAACAGUUUUUAAUUUAGUCACUAUAUUAAUUAAUUAUUUUUAUUUAUAAAAUUAAUUUUUAUUUAGUAAUUUUCUUAUUGUUGUGACUAAUCUAUUUUAUGUUUAAGUUAAAAGUACAAAUAUUCAGAGAUGAAUUUAUUUUAUAUUUAUGAAUAAUAAUUUAUACUAUUAAUAAUGGAUUCUUUUUAUGCUAAUGAUGUUAUAAUAAUUUUUUUUUAUCCUAAAAAAGUGAAGGCAGCUAGGCAUAGUGAGGUGUUGUCUUUUAUUUAAUAUUAUAUCAAAAUUUUAAAAUUGAUCAACCACAUAACUAAAUUCUCCCUACACUUCUAUAUAAUUUUUAAAUACUAAAUAUACCCUCUCUUUUUUGAAAUAAAUAUCGGAUUGGUCAAUUUAGAAUCUAAAACCAGAUCCAAUAAUUAUGGAUCGGAUUGUACAAUCUAGUUUGUGUUUUAAUUUUACAACUCUAGUUUGUGUUUUAAUUUUACAACGAUACACAAUCGCAUAUAUGGUUUGAUGUUUUGGAUUUACAAAAUGAGGAUACAUUUAGUAUUUAGAAAUUAUAUGAAUGUGUAGGAAGAAUUUGUCAACCAAAAUUAGUAUGCAAUUCUUGUGUAACGGUCCAACCCAACUCAUUCUUGUGGACCAAAUGAAGAAGGACCCAAAAUGGGGAAAAGGGACGUUCGUAAGUAAAUUCUCCCUCCACCACCUUCAUAUAAAUUUUGAAAAGUCGAUUUAACUUUUAUUUAUAUUUAAAUAAUCUAAAAUGAAGCAUAAUAUCACAUUUUUAAAUAAUCUCAAUUGCACCCUCAUACUCCAUACCUCCUUUCUAACUGCAACACUUUCAUGCUUCUCCAACUACAGUGUUUGAGAGGGAAGUUCCACCAUUUGAGUGUGUGUAAGGGGAUUUACGAUAAUAUUUGUUGUAUUUGACCUUCUCCAGUGCAAAGAUAUUUUUUUAAAAAAAAAUUGUAAUUCAAUUUUGCACCUCACUGAUUUUUUUAUGGGUUUUGUGACUUUAAAAAAUAAGUGAAUGAAAACACAACCACCACGAGUAAAAAAAACUAUAAAAUUUAUCUCAAUCACUAACAUCCACCACCAAUUGCCACCAUUUGAAAAUAAAGAAGAAUACACCACACUCAUCACCAUACUCAUAAGGGUGUUGUUGGAAUAAAAAAAAUGGAGGUGAAGGAAGUGUAGGAAAAAUUUAGCAAAAGGAAUGGAAUUUGGAUUGAAAAUUUGGAUUUUCCACUUUUUAAAAAGCAAAUUAUCCCUCUACCUCUAUACUUUUCCCCUCCACCUCUAUAUUAAUUUUGAAAAGACAAUUUUAACCUUUUUAAAUAUUUUAAAUGACCCUACGUAUAAAACAUAACUUCACAUUUCUAAAUAACACCAACUGCACCCGUGCACCUCAUACAUCUCUUAAGCUUCCAACCACAACACUUACAUUCUUCUCCACCCACAACCUUUGAGAAAACAAUUCCAUUGUUUUAGUGUGUGUGGAUUGACAAGAAAAUUUGUUAUAUUUGAUAUUUUCUAGUGCAAAGACAUUUUUUUUUAGUUUUGUACUCCAAUUUUUCAUCUUGGUGAUUUAUUUUUUUUGAGUUUUUUGACUUUCAAAAAAUAAAAAAAUAAGUGAACGAAAACACAACCAACACUAUUAAAAACACUACAAAACUUACCUUAACCAUCAUCCAUCACAAGAAACCACCACUAUUUGAAAAUGAAGAUGAAGACACCACACUUCCAACAUACUCAGAAUAAUAUUGUUGAAAUUAAAAAAUAUAUAUAAAAAUACUGAAAAAAUGUAUGAAAGUGGAGGGAGAAUUUGAUUCAUUCCUUCUCAUAGUAACUAUUCAAUAUCUUAUGAACUUUUUUAAACUACAACAAAAUCAAUAAUUAUAAAUAUUGAUUUUUCUUAUACAAUUGCCCAAAUUAUGUCAAAAUUCACAAUAAAAGUGCCCUAAUAAGAAAAGUAAUAUCAAUAAAAUUUAAUUUAAUUCAUUUUUAGAAAACCAUAAUUUAAAACAUUACUUUUAUUUACAAUAUUUUCGACUGAUAGUUUAAUCAAUUUCCAUAUUUUUAUGCAUGCAUUCAACAUUUAAGAUUCAAUUUGAACCCUAACUUAAGAUUUUGGGGUAACAUUUUUUCUUUGGCACCAUAUUUUUCGAACGGAAUAGAGGGACAAUAGUUUCAUCAAGGAAAUCUCAUAGGUAAAGAGAUUGCAUGUAAUCACACACUGAAGUUGGUGUUCUAAGAUUUGUUGCUAACAAAUUUGAUAGCAAAUCAUCUCAACUUAUUGUAUUUAUCAUCCAUAAUAUGGUAUAAACUCUUAAGCUGUUCAAGGAUUUUUGUUAAACUCUUGAUAUGGAAUCAAAGUAUUAACAAUUUGGAAUGUGGGUUGGAUUGGAUUCAUGAAUUUUGUUAUAUGUAUGAUUGACUUGUAUUGUGAGAGAUAUUUUUGAAGUUCAAAACUCUAUCACUAGUGAUAUAAUAAGUUUUCACUCUCCCAAUAAUGCAAAUAAUAUUCGAUACAAAAUAUAUGGCUAAAAAAGUUUAAGCAAGAUAAAAAAACAUAUUAGUUAAUGUUCUUAUCUUUAUUUUCCUCUCCGUCAUGUAUUUAUAGUUGAUGAUUCAACUUUGUUACACAAUAUUUUAUUAUAAUUUUGAUAGUGUUGUUCUUUAAUCUUGUCAUGUAUACUUACUUAAUUUAACUUGAUUAUACAUGCUCGAGUAAUCUAAUAACAGAUUUUUUUUUUUACUUGUGUUAUAUAAAAUUGAAAAUAACGUGCAUAUAUGACAUCAUAAAUUAUAUUUGUGUUUUUCUUGUCAUCAUGCAGUAUAUAACAUUAUAUAAAGUAGUCUUAUACAGAUAAAAUAAUGUAUAAAUAUUUGUGAGUAAAUAAUAAAGUCAUUGUCUAUUUGGAUGCAUUGCAAGGGAUAGUUAAUUUAGAUAUCAACUUAGAAACGACUUUAUCAAUUUUUAUUAAUAAUAGAAAACUACUUUAGAUAUUCAUAUUUUUUUUUGUUUCUAACAUCAUAUCUAAGUUAGUUAAUAUAGUGACUAAUUAUUUUUUAUCUCUAAAUUUGGUUGUUAAUUAAUGAUUUUUUUAGUGAAAGUUGAGACUCGUAAGAAGGUUCUUGGAAUAAUUGGUGUUGGAUAACCUCUAAUAUUUAAAUUAGUAACUUUUAAUUAAAAAAAAUCAAUUUAUAGGUUUUAUGGUCAUCUAAUAAUAAAACUAAGUAACUAUAAAUAAUUACUUGAAUAAUGAAUUUCAGUUUUAAAUAAGUUAUUAUUUUUGCAUAAUUAUCAUUUGUUCUUUUUCUAUAAAUCAUUGAAUUAAAUUAAAUCUUUUGAAAAAUUAUCAUUUUGUAAAUUAUAAGUGAUUGGGAAUUGUUAGGAUGUGCAUUGAUUGAGAAUUUGUCUAGAAUGAGGUAUCAUAACACUAUUGAUAUAUUGAAAUAAUAUGGAUGAAGAUAUUCAUAUGAAUUAACCAUGUCAUACAUUUUGAAUUGAUUAAUAUGUAUAUGUGGUUGUGUGGGAUUCAUAAUGAUAGUAGUAUGACAGGUGCAAAUCUCUGAGUCUGAAUCAUUGCACGGGUCUUCCAGAAGUAUGGUCAAAUGUAUUAAUAUUAGUGGAUUUUUGGCACGAAUGAGAUUGAAUUAUGUAAGUGAAUUUUAACAUAAAUAAUGUGAAAUAUGAUAUAUUUAGAGACACUUUAUUUUUUUAGUAUAUUUAGAAUUAAGAAAGUGUGAUGAUUCAUAUAUGAAUUUGAUUAAAUGAUUCAAAUAUAAUUUCUUUAAAAAGUUUUAAAAAUUUCUAGUUUAUCUUACUUUUUUUUUGGUGUUGUUUUUUUUUUUUUUAAAGAAAAUUGCAAUGAUGAUGUGUUAUAUAGGAUUAAAAGAUAUUACAGGUUAUAGAUUUUCACAGUGAAGAUGAUAUUUUUUUUUCCUUUUGAUUAUUUUAAUAUUUUGUAUUAAUGAUAUAUAUUUAGAAAUCUUGAUAUAAAGAGAUAGUAUUUUGUGAUAUAAUAGUAUGAUAAUGCAAAUUUUAUUUAUAUAUUAAACUUCAUAUCAUAGUAAUUUAAUAAGAGAUAAUACAUUUAUAUAUAUAUAUAUAUAUAUAUAUAUAUAUUUUGCUGCAAUACCCAUUUAUACACACAAAACAAAUACUCUUCUAGUCUUCUCUUAUUGUUGUUUAAAAAAUUAGUCUCUAAAGGGAUUGUUGUUUAAAAAAUUAGUCUGAUGGCUCUAUGUUUCACCUUCACAACUGCAGCAUAUGCCGCAAGGUUUCACAUCACAACCCAUUAUUUUGUUAAGAUCCAAGAUUACAAAUACUAAUCAUUAGAUUUACUUACCACACUUUUUAUAAUGUAUAAUAAAAUUUGAGUAUAAAUUUGUUAGAAAAGGUCAUACUAAUCACGUCAUAAAAAUUUAUUAAACUAUAAUAGAAUUUUACCACAUGAUAAUAACAAAGAAUACUGCAAAAAAAUAUGUUUUUAAAUUUAUAAUAAUCAUAUAUUAAAACAAAAUUUUGAUAAUAUUUAUUAUUUUAAAAAUUUAAAAUUAUAUUUCUAAAUUUUUAUAUAAACAAAUUAUAAUUCUAAUAUUAAGAAAAUCAUAUAAAAGAUACAUAAUUUUACAACAUUGCAUAGACUGAAAUUGAUUAAUUAAUCAAAGUAGAAAGAUUUCUUGAUAAUAUGAGGUGUUGAAACUUUGGUGCAGUGCAGGAUAUAUAUAUAUAUAUAUAUAUAUAUAUAUAUAUAUAUAUAUAUAUAUAUAUAUAUAUAUANNNNNNNNNNNNNNNNNNNNNNNNNNNNNNNNNNNNNNNNNNNNNNNNNNNNNNNNNNNNNNNNNNNNNNNNNNNNNNNNNNNNNNNNNNNNNNNNNNNNNNNNNNNNNNNNNNNNNNNNNNNNNNNNNNNNNNNNNNNNNNNNNNNNNNNNNNNNNNNNNNNNNNNNNNNNNNNNNNNNNNNNNNNNNNNNNNNNNNNNNNNNNNNNNNNNNNNNNNNNNNNNNNNNNNNNNNNNNNNNNNNNNNNNNNNNNNNNNNNNNNNNNNNNNNNNNNNNNNNNNNNNNNNNNNNNNNNNNNNNNNNNNNNNNNNNNNNNNNNNNNNNNNNNNNNNNNNNNNNNNNNNNNNNNNNNNNNNNNNNNNNNNNNNNNNNNNNNNNNNNNNNNNNNNNNNNNNNNNNNNNNNNNNNNNNNNNNNNNNNNNNNNNNNNNNNNNNNNNNNNNNNNNNNNNNNNNNNNNNNNNNNNNNNNNNNNNNNNNNNNNNNNNNNNNAUAUAUAUAUAUAUAUAUAUAUAUAUAUAUAUAUAUAUAUAUAUAUAUAUAUAUAUAUAUAUAUAUUUGAGUCUCUCCGUAUGUAGUGGAUUAUUAACAACGCAAUAUACUUGCUUCUUUUUUCUUUUAUUCUACUUGCUUGAAUUUUCUUCUAUAUUACUUUACUAUUAAGAUAACAAUGAACUUAAAUAUUUAUGACAAGAUGACUGAAAGAAAAGGAGAGGAAAAAAAUGGGAAGAAAGAAUAUACGUAUGUUUGGUGAAGGUCACUAUAUAUAAUUAUUUUUCUAUAAGGUAGGCAAGAAAAAUAUCCUUGGUCAAUAGUUUGCUACAAUCAUGCCUCAAUUCACGUUUCAAUGUGCCCUUCUUCAUUAAUUUAUAAGUUCACUUAACCAACUUUAAACUUCAAAAAUUUAACUAAAACUAUUUUGGUAUAAGAACUGAUUUUUAGUUUAUUUAUAGAAGUUACUUCAACUAUGUUUUAAUUUAUUAGCAUAAAUUAUUUUUUAUUAUUUCGUUUACAAUAUUUUUUAUCUGUUAGUUUUUACAAUUUUUUAAAAUAAAUGAUCUGGUCUUCAAUCCAUAAAGAAAUCUAUUGAACACUAUCUUCUAGAAUAAUAUUUUCAAGAAUCACCAAAUUCUCAUGAGUGAUUUUAUGUGCCAAUGACUUUGAUGUUCAAAUUAGUAUUUAUAGGUUUCAUUCUCAACUAGACAUUUUCAAUACUUAUACGUUUUGAUUUAAUAUAUUUUGUAGUUUUUUAUUCAUAUUUUCAGAACUAUUCUCUUAUUAUUGUUACUAUAAAUAUUAGUUAAGGUAUAAAUAUAACACUUCACAUUUCACAACAAUUUAUAUAAUACUAUUAGUUGUGUUUAAUUUUUUUUUUCAUUAUUAUGACAUAUAAUAAAUAACUAACAGAAAAAAAGUUUGUAAAAAAAUAUUACAUGGAUUUUUAUACAAAUAACAUUCUCUUAAUAAUAUUAAAUAACAUCUACAUAAUUCAUUAGUUUGUCAAAUAAAUUCCCUGUAAGAAAUUACACUCAAGAUAAUUAAAAUAUAAGAACUUAUGUUUAUAUUAAAAAUAAGAAUUUAAUUUAUCUGCACUAGUAUAAUUUUUCUUAUAUAAAGAUCUAAUCUGAAUUCACUUUAUUCUUACAUUGUUUUUUUUUUAGAAAAAAAAAAUCCUAAUUAAGGCAUUACUUUUUUAAAGAAGUUAAUGACGUGACUGUAUUGUUUCUAGAUACAUUAUAUACAAAUAUUUCAUGGAGAAAUACUUUCACAAAUUUUACAAUUUAUAUAAUUAAUGAUAUUUCACAAAUUUUACAAUUUAUAUAAUUAAUGAUAUUUCACAAAUUUUACAAUUUAUAUAAUUAAUAAUAUAUUAACAAUCAUGCAUCAAAUACUGAAAAGAGAAACAACUUUAUAUUAAAAUAAAAAUAAUUUUAAAAUUAUAUUGAUCAACCGUUGUAUGUUAUUUCAAUUUGUAAUUGUCAAAGUAAAAUUUUAUAUAAUUUAUAUUUUAGUUUGAAAAGUAAUCAUUCAUACUUUCAAAUACACCACUUUUUAUUUUUAUUUUAUAAUACAUUAGGCUGACAUUUCUCACAUUUCAUGGUAUUGUUAUAUAUAAUUUGUUUUAUCUUUAUAAUAACCUCUUUAGUUGUUUUAAAAACACUAUACUAGUUGCAUUUAUGCCUUCUAUUAACUCCUUAAUUAGUUACAAAAUAUUAUAUUAUGUAUUGUUAAAAUUGUUGUAUAUUAAAAAAACAGAGUAUGUAUAAUUUAAAAAACUUUUAGGAGAUAUCAAAAUAGUUUUAUAACUAUUUGAAAUAAGAGUAACCUGAAACUAAAGAAAAUAAUAUUUAAAAAAGUUACUAUUAUAAAGAAAAGCAAUUAAAAUUUUGCUUUUGAGAAGAGAAAUAUAGAAGAUGAAAAUAGAAAAAUAAAAUAAAAAUAAUAAUAAUAAUAAUUUAGUAGCAUAUAAGUUACAAAUAAUAAGAAAAAAUAUUUUAAAAUAACGUAAUUCGAUUGAUUAAUAGAAGUGAGUAAAUUUUUAAAAAAUUAUAAAAGACUGGUAAAUCGUGUAAGAAAAAUCUAUUAUUUCAAUGUGAAGGAGUUGUGUUCCCGUUUAGAUGAAUUUAAAAAAAAAUAAGUACUUAAAAAACGAUUUUAAAUUUUUGUUAACUGUUUGAAAGCAUGAUUUCUAAUUUUGUUUAUUUCUUUUGUUUUUUUUUUGUUUUUUUUUCAUUUUCUAUUUUCUAUUUUCUUUUGGUUUUUAUUUUAUUUUUGUGAAAUAACAAAAAAUAUAUUUAACUUUUUAUUGUUAUUUAUUUUUAAAAUUAUAUAUUUAAUUAUUUGUAAUUGAAUAUAAUUUAGAUAAUUUAUUAUUAUAAUUUAAAUAAAUAUUUAAUUAGUUUAAGUAAUUAAUUAAUUAAUUUAUUUUGAAAUUGUGUAUUAAUUAUCUGUAAUUGAAUAUAAUUUAGAUAAUUUAUUAUAUUUAAAUAAAUAUUAGUUAAUUUAAGUAAUUAAUUAAUUUUUUAAUUAUUUUAUUUUUGAAGCAAUAAUUUAAUAAUAAUAUAUUAAAAUUGAAAACCAAAAAAAAUUUUAAAAAAAAUGUGAUACCAACCAGGUUCAGUUUUGAAAUUUAAAAAUUGUUUUUUGAAACACAACUUUUGAUUUUAAAAAAAUAAAACAUGAAAACAAAAAGCGUGCUUCUAAACACAAUUUCCUUAAUUUAAAAUUGCCCUUCCUCAUAUUAUUUAAAAAAAAAAUUAUGAAUGUAAAAUACAAAUCACAUUCCUAUCCGCCAUCACCACAUUCUAGUACUCUGCAUUUUCUUUUCUGAUUCUCCUCGAAACUGGGUCUGUUGUUUUUAUAUGAUAUAUAAUAUUAAUAAAAUAAUAAAUAUAAAUAUGUAGUUGUAUUCAAUUACGUAGCAUGCUGAAACUGUUGAAAUCAAAUAACUAGUAAACGUCAUCCUAAAACAUCAGUAAUGGAACUUGUGAAUUUUCUGCAACGAAAGUUGGCUAUAUAAACACUUGCUACCAUCAUUACUUCAACACACAAAUUAAAACACUCAUCUUUCUCUUGUCAAAACGAUGACUCCCUCAGUGCCCUUCUUCUUUCUAAUUGCUCUAUGCUUCACUUCUGCAUAUGCCGCAAGGUUUGACAUCACAAACCGAUGCUCUUACACUGUGUGGGCUGCGGCUGUGCCUGGCGGCGGUAGGAUGCUAAACUCGGGCCAGUCAUGGGCCCUGGACGUAGCCGCAGGAACCAAAGAGGCCCGCAUUUGGGCCCGAACCGGAUGCAACUUCGACGGUUCAGGCCGCGGUGGAUGCAAGACUGGGGACUGUGGCGGUGUUCUUGAGUGCAACGCAUACGGUACACCUCCUAACACCCUAGCGGAAUACGCGCUGAACCAGUUCAACAAUUUGGACUUCUUCGACAUCUCCCUUGUAGACGGUUUCAACGUUCCGAUGGAGUUUAGUCCAACGUCGAAUGGAUGCUCACGUGGCAUAACAUGCAAUGCUGACAUCAACGGACAGUGUCCCUCUGAGCUGAAGACUGACGGCGGUUGCAACAACCCAUGCACUGUCUUCAAAACCGAUGAAUACUGUUGCAAUUCUGGAAGCUGUUCUGCAACUACUUUUUCCAAAUUCUUCAAGGAUAGGUGCCCCGAUGCUUAUAGUUAUCCCAAAGAUGACCAAACCAGCACCUUCACAUGCAACGGUGGAACUAACUAUAAGGUUGUCUUUUGCCCUUGAACCAAACUGCCAUAACUACUCCUCCACUACAUAUAUGUAUGCACUCAAAAUAAACAAAAUAAUUAAAUAAGACGUUCGCACUUUGGUGUGCCCUUCUAUAACUACAUGUGCUUGGACUUCUACCCAUGAAAUCGAUACUUUCCAAUCCUUAUAUCUACUUUCUGUAUAAAUUUCUUUUGGAACUCCUCCUUCCAAACUAUAACAUUACAACUAUUAUAUGUAUCCUUGGGUGAUGUCUCCACUAGACAAUGACUCUAUUCUGCAUUCUAUAGUAGUAUUAAAAAAAUAUUAAAUAAAAAUAAUAAUUAAUUGUUAUAUUAAUUAAAUUAAAUUUUGUUUUAAAGGUUAAAAUAAUUAUUAAUAUCUAAUUUAAUUUUUAAUACUGAUAAAUAAUUUAUAAAUUGAUAUUUAAUUAACUAUUUAGUUAUUAAUUAUUUAAAUUUUAAAAUUAAUAGUUAAAAUCUUGAUAACUGAAUAUACAUCAAUUUAUAAACUAUUUAUUAAUAAUAAAAAUUAAUUUAAAUAUCAAUAUUUUUUAAUUUUAAUAUAAUAUCUAUUUUAAUUAAUAUAAUAAUUAAUUAAUUUUUACUUUAAAAUUGAUUUUUAGUUAAUAAUUUUAUUAUAAACACUCCUCCUUAAUGAUCAUUUUGUUAUCAAUCAAAUCAUGAGCGAACGUUAAUCGAUAUCAGCUAUAUUCACGACGUAAUAUUUUAUUAACGAUAUUUUCACAAAAUCCCCAAUGAUCAGAAAAGAGAAUUCUUGUUCGACUCUUUUGCCCAUAACAUAAUUUAUACUAUUAAUAAUGGAUUCUCUUUAUAAACUACUUUUUAUAUACAAUUCUUCCUAUUUUACUUUUUCCUCUUUAGAUUUUGUAACUAUUUUUUAACUCAAAUGGCUACUCACAAUAAAAGUAACUAUUUACAAUAAAAAAAAUUAAUAAUGUUUUUUAUAAUUUUAACAUAUUUUUUUUUUAACAUAUAAUACUUUCUUCAGCAUGGCAACCAGAAUAAGUGGUAAGUGGUACGAAACCUCUAGAUGGCCGAGGGAGCAUGAGGAGCCCAAUAAUGAAGGUGCAAUAUAACUCUUUCUUCCUGCACCUCCAUAGGUUCUUCUGCCAUCCCAUACAAAAUGUGAAAAUGCAUUUUUAUACUUCAUAUGUCACCCGCAUAGAGUAACUUCUGGAUUAUGUAAUCUGGACACGUAUUUGAAAAAAGACUUCUGGAUUACAUAAUCCUAAAGUUAAAAAAGACUUCCAGAUUAUGUAAUCUAAAAGUUAAUCAUGCAUAUGAAAAAAAACAUUCAGAUUACCUGAAAGCUAAUUAGGAAUUUGAAAAAAGACUUCCAAAUUACAUAUUUUUGAAAAUAAGAAAAUUUAUAAAGGUGAGAGAAUAACAUAUGGAGGUGCAGGAAGAAAAAGUUGGGCAAUAUAUAUGUGAAAUUUGGGAAUUAUGUAAAUACUAUCAAAUACAAAUCACAGUUGGCUUAAGGUGAACAUCAAUAGUCUUGAAAUGGAAGAAACCACGAUAUUAGAAGAUGAAUGCUAUACAACUUUUGCCUCUCUUCAGUUUUACUUACAUGAGGCUAAAGAAAAGCUUCCCAGUUCCCACAAAAUGUCUUCAGGACAGUUUAAUUACCUUCUGAACUUCUACAAAUAACGAAUGAGCUCCACUGCAAACUUCCCUUUCUUUGUGGAGUUUAUUUCUCCUAUCUAAAAGGCUAAUAUCAUAUCAUAUAUCCAAAGUCAUUCAGAUAAUCCAGUAAUUAUUUUAAGUUUUGGAAAGUUACCUUUAAUCUUCCCUUUCCACUAACUGAUAUAAUAUCUCCACUCUUGAGUGUGGUUCCUUUGGUAGUAACAGGGUUCCAGUUGACACGCACAUCACCAUUGCUACAACCAUAUGUACAACAAAGUUAUCAUAUGUAAACAAGGUCUUGUCAUCAACAUGCAAAAUGUUCAUUUGCCACAAUGUCCACAUUUCAUUAAUAUACACAUAGGUUAUAUGCCAAAAUAGCUACUGAAGUCCAAGCAGUUUUAUGAGCAAGAAAAUGAGUACAUUUCUGGAUAUUGGCAACAUUGAAAGAAAGGGGAAGAGUAAGCUAUGCAACUGGUCUGGUUAUAGCUAAUCAAAAAAUUCAGAGACAUUCAAUGUAUGCAUAAUUUUUGCAAUGUUCAUAAGUGUAUUGUAGGCAAUCAGCAAUUUACAGUUAAUUGACGGAUGAGAUAUUACAUAAGUCAGAGAUUACCAACCUGAUCAUGUUAACUAGUUUUGAACGUGAAAUCUUAAAUCCAGCGCUAGCAAGAGCAUCAACUCUUAGCGAUGCUUCUAUAGUUUUGAAUGAUUUUGUUCUGCACACUACACAAAAUCAGUAAAGUCUAACUGGAAAAUGUUAUGUGAAGUUGAGCCCAGUUCAAUACUGCACCUUGGUGGUUCAUAAUCAAGAGAAAUCAAUGGUAUCUUGGUGCAAGUUACAGGAACAUUACGAACCUGAGAAACAAGAAAGCAGUUGGAAUAUAAAUAGUAAUAAUAAUGCAAUACAGACACUGCUAAAAAAGAAGAUGCCUAAACUAUCCAUAACACCAUAACAUAGGUAACUGAAUUCCAUUAAUAAAAAAUUUACCUGCAAUAUUCACUUCCAGAGCCAGUUAUAGGAUUUUAUUUUUAUUCUUAAUUUUCAGAACCAAAAGACAAGCUGUAACUCGCAUGAUCACACAAGAAGAACAGAACUUGCAUUUGCUACCAUACCUACAUGUGCCGAAUUCGUUAACAUUUGUGCCAAAUACUCCUUGCUAUUUAAGACUUCUCUAAUAUCUUGUUAGUUUAUUAUUUCUAAAUUGUAUUGGAUUAGAUCCUAAAAGAAAAAGAAACAUAAAAAAAUUGGCCCUGAAACACACCAAAACAUUUGAACUUAUUUGUUAGCCUAUAAAUUUUUGGAAUGGACAUUUUAUUCUUAUAAGUGAACUUAAGCAAUAUUAUCUAUAUGAAUAUAAAGAUUUCUAUAUUCUUUUAUAUUUUAAUAUUCUCCAUACUAGAACCAUAGAUUUUUAAAAUUAUUGUACCUCAGUAAUUUGGAAACAACGUUCAUAUCCACAUCAAUGGCACUCAAAUAUUUACUAUUACAAUCACAACUAUUUCUUGUUCUGAUAAUUAGAUAUUUAUCUAGAAAAGUAAAUUGCAGAGAGCAUUAUGUGUAAUAAUAUUACCUUAACCAAGGUUGACAUGAGAAAUUCAACCAGUUCUGGCACAACAAUUAUCUGUGCACCCUGUUCUCCCUGGAUAACAAAGGUAAACAAAGUCUAAGUUUCCUAAAAUAUGUGUGGGCUGCUGUACAUGCACACUAGAUUCAAACAGAACAAAAUGGUAAAAUAAAACUAAGAACGAAUGCAAAUAAGGAAAAGUAAUCCAGGUCAUGUUUAUAAACUUAACUUGCAAUCUAGUAGCCAGUAAAAUUAAAUAGAACUACAGAGGUCACAUUUGUUAGUAUUGUUUUCUUUACAGAUUUGACUAAUUUUUCUUUUUUACACAUGAUUUGAUUCAUUGUAAGAAUAAUCUUUCUAUUAAAUGCACUUCGUUGAUCUAAUUAGAAAGAUAAUAGAAAUAUUGACUCAUCAAACAACAAAGAGAAGUCAUUAACUUUAGAGAUCAAAGCAGCAUUAGACAAAAGUCUUUUAGCAUGUAGAGGCCAAUAGAAGACAAGGAAAUUAGAGCAAAAUCAGCAAAUUGAAAAACCCAUACGAUGAAAAUGUCAUGUAACAAAUUGCAGAUUAUGAUGUACAAGUCCAUCAGAAGCUAAUAAUUAGCACUCAAUUGUGGACAUAGCAAAUUUUUAAACAGAACCUUCCUGAAAUAAAUCUAAUAAAAGAAAUACCUGCAAUAUAAUAUCCCCAAGUUUCUCCCUGACAAUUCCUGUUCCAAGGAUUGAGCCAAGGAAGUCACCAUGUGAGCAAGGUUCAAACUGGAAGUUCCCUUUAAUGCUGAAAAAAGUAAUUUUAUGUAAAUAUUAGCAAACAUUUUUAGAAACAUCAAUAAUGGAUCUAGUGAGUUUGGCAAUGAAAUUAGAAGAUUUAACCUUAAUGCUGAAAUAACAUCUGGAUCACUAGUCAGUUCUUCUGGAUGUCCAACAGAAAUCCGACAACGUUCAGCCUAGAGAGAAUACAAGUUUUAUGUCAACACACAAAUUCAGAUAAUUUUAGUAUCGAAGGACUGAAAAGCAUUUAUCUGGAUAUUUUUACCUGAGGGUAACCUCCUUGAGAAAUUGCUUUCACAUCUGCUAAUUUUUCCAAAACUAGCAUAGAUUCCUUUAGCACCGGAGGGGUUAGAAAAUCUGUAUGGAGAGUCUCCCGCUUCAAUGAUGCCCGUCUAGCCUACAACAAAUGGACAACAACCAUGCCAGGGAUUAAAUAAUGAUGUAUGGGGUAGGAUUUUAAGACAUGCAAUGGUCCAAGGGCAUCUAUUUUUGACAGAGAAUCAACAUCAAACUUCCAUGCAGAUAAAAAGGAGUAGCAAAGAUUCAAAGUCGUUGUGUGAGGUAUUGAUGUUUAUGGACUAGAGACCUAGGGAAAACAAGAAAGUACCAUCUCAAGAAUAUGUUUUACUUCUUUUGUUACAUUUCUUUCUCCUACUCCCUUGACUAACACGUCAACUUCUCCAUUUGAAGCUUGUACUGCCUGGCUUACACCUGAAGCUGCACUUCAAAAAAACAUUAAAAAUGGAAACUUGAUCAUGAUUGAGAAUCCAAGUAAUACAUACUUUACAAAACCAGCAGCUCAAAAGCGGCAAAAGAAAUCAUGAUUACUUCUUUGUUAUCACCCGUUACACCUCUUUUCUAAGCACUAAUCAAUAAUAAUACCUUAAAAUUGGUAAGCAUAAGCCUUUCCCAUGUAAUCAAUAGUCAAUAUUUUGUGAGCACACAAGGCCUAUUUUUCCGAGAUCAACACGCCUACCAAUAUGUUGGCACUCUUCAGUCUUCACCAAACCAACCUACAUUACAAUGUGUUUUCUCAUCACCUAGAACAAGCCUGCCUUUAAAAGCCAAUGAAGUCAUAUAUGUUACCACUCUUUUCUUGAAAUCUUUUACCACUCAUCACCUGGUCAAGCCAGAUCAAAACCAUCAACUUUCAUCCAAGUACAUAUUCCCCAGACUGCCAAAAAACAUCACAGCCAAAGCUGUAUUACAUUAUAGGAAGUCGGUUGGGGCUAAAACUUGGCUUUUACGUUUUAGGUCACUUCUUGAAAACAUUGAUCACAGCAAUAGUUGAUUUGGUUAAUUGACCCAUCAAGCACUUUAAUCAAUAUUAUUCUAUGAGUUUCACCUAUAACACAUGAGUCUCAACAAAAACACACUUGAUAAUGUUUCUCUUAGUACCUGUUCCAGACCCACACCUCGGAAUUCAGAAAGCAGAAAAUAGAAGUAAACACUGAUAUUCUGUAUUAUUUGCAAAUUAAAGGAAAUACAAAAGGAUAACAAAUCCUACUACCUAGUGCUAGCUCCUCUAGAGCAACUAGAGAGGUUCCCCUUGUCUCCAUGAGAAAAAAAACUCCGCCAUAAAAAACUAACAGAAAAUAUUACUCUCUCCUCUAACUGCCCUUCCCACUAGUCAUACCUACCACCUCAGCCAUUGGUUCUUCUUUCUCACACUCACACAUACUCUUCCCCAUUCUGGCUUGCUCCCUUCAUGGGCUAGUGGUUCACGAAAACUUACUCUUUGGGUCUCAUCAGUACCAAAGCCCGUUCACUAUAGCAGGUGUGUACAUGUGUAUCGAAUUCAACAUGAUCAGUGCAACAAGAGGGAACACCCUUGCCAAAUUACAAAAGGCAUGCAUAUAAAAUUCAUGAAACCCCUUUGUCCAUUCAGUUAUGUAAAUUCAUAUCCGCAUUGAGUUACAAACAUAAUGCACCUCAAAAUUAAAACAACAGGUAAUGAAGGUAAGUAUAAGAUUAUGAGGUUUACCAAUUGCAGACACAAUUAAUGGGAGUUAGUAUAUGUCCUGAAUUAUUGAAUACAAAAUUCCUGUGUCUUAUUGUUUGAAUUUGGUAUUUCAAACAUUCAGACAGGACAGUUACUAACUUCCUAUUGUGGCUGAAAUUGAUAAAUCUCAUCCUCUUAUCUUUAUCUUCUUUAACGGGUAUUUUGACACACCCACAAUUUCUUUUAUGAAAAAGAUUGCAGCUUUUAAGAGAAUAAAACAUAAUGGGCAUGUGAAGGCGAAACAGCAUCAAUUUAAAUAUUGGUAGCAUCAAUAAAUAAAGGAAAAUUCAAAAUCGGAAGAAGUAAGUAUAGACCUGAAGAAGUAGAAACGGAUAGAAUCUGAGAGGAAAGUUUCCUUUGGAAAGAGAAGGUGGCAUUGGUGUUGAAGAUAUGAGAAUGAGAUAUUGCAAAAGCCUGAGCUGCUCUUCUUAGAAUACAUGCAGUUCCAAAGCUUGUGGCAGCAGCCAUGGUGGUUCCACCUUUGUUGGGAUUACCUUCAACUCAAAAACACCACAACAUUACGAGUUAUGUUGUGACUCUUCUAUUUAUUAUUAUUAGCGGAAACUCAUCAGUUAUGAGUUUUAACAUAUAAUUUUAAUAAUUAAAUUAAAAUAUAUUAAAUAAAUUUAAAUUUAUAAACAUAAUUAUAUUAAAGUAAUUACCAUCUGUUUCAUUCUCAAUAUAUUAUGUUAUUUUUUAACUUCUUCGCCUCUACUUAUUGUACAAAAAUAAAAAAUAGAAUAAAAGAAAUAAAAAUGAGGUUGUAAAAGCUUUUGUUCGAGGAAUUUGAGCCAGAACCAUAAAUAGCUGGUGCAAUGAAUUUGUAUUUUACAAUUCAUAAUUAACCUUUUCUGCAUGUGUCUUUUAUUUCAAAAUCAUUUAUGAAUUCUAAUUUUCAUAACGCAAAUUACCCUUAUUUUGGAAUGCAUUUUCUAUAAUAUUAAAAAUAAAUUAUACAUAGAAAUGUUUCUAAAAUAUAUAUUCCAAAAGAUUCCUUUUAGAAUUCGAUUUUUGGAGAUUAUUUAUUUGUCUUUGCAUUUCAAACUUGUAUUGAAUAUUCAUUCUUACUUCAAUCACAUAACACAACCUUCCAAUCACAAUUUUGACUUCCAAUACAACUUGCCAAACUAAAUCUUACCUCCACCUCCAUUGAAAUCAACUAUUCCCAAAAACCAAGAAUCAAAAUUGCAAAAGUAUUUUAAAAAAUUAUAUAAUACAAAUACCAAAAUAUAUAAUGCAAGCAGUAAAAGCUUUUGUAAUAAAUCCUUAUCUAUAGUCUAGUCAGUCCUUAGCCCUUCAAGUAUAUGAACUCAUUAUCGUCUCCAAGAAAAUUGAGGCAGCCCAAAUUUACAUGCCAUUUAAAAAAUACAUUGAAUCUUUGGAUCAAGAUACUACAAUUGAUGUGCUUUCUUUAAAAAAGAAGUGAGUGGCAGGUUUAGAGAUAACCACUUUUUUAGUUUCAUAGCAUUUAAUUUAAAUAUAACAUCAAAAACAGAUAUACUCCAAUUGAAUUCAACUAGGUUAUAUAAUCAAGCUACUUAUCUUUUAUUUUUCGAUGCUAAUUUUAAUUCAAAUAUUAUAUUUACACCAUUUUAUUUUCAUUCUUAUGUGAUGAUAAUUUAUUUAUUAUUAAUUGAUCAAUUAAUUACAGAUAAAUGAGUAUGCGGAUUAGUCUGCCUAACAAAAAACAAGCUAGUCUGCAAUUCUUGUGUAACGGUCCAGCCCAACUCUUUUUCUUAACAAUUGCUUUUGGGCAAUUGCUUCCUGCACCCAAUUUGAGUUGGGUGGAAAAGACGAAAAUGUUCUUAAUUAUUAUUUUUUGUAUUGUGGAUUUUCUUAUUCUUUGCCCUUUUGAUUUUUUUUUCUGAAUUUUUCCCGAACACAAAAAACUCUUCCAAAUCUACUUUCUCAAAAAGCAUUAUUUUUUGGAUUUUCAUUUCCAAGUAUUUUCAUAAUUUUAAAAUGACAAUUUCUCCCUCCACCAUAUCAAUUUCAGCAUGCACCCAAUCAGUUCUAGAAAAUGAUAAAAAUACCCCUCCUAAAUGACAAAAAUAACCUUACACAAAAAUGGGAAAAAUUAUUUUUGAAACUUUCAUCUGAAAUAUUUAGGAUUUCAAUUUUCGGAACAUAUUUUUGAAUUCUGAAUUUUUUUAUCCAGAAUGUAUUUUUAGUUUUGUGUUCAGAAUUUUUUUUCCAGCAUGUAUUUUUAUAUUUCUCAAUUAUAAUUAUUAUUUUGGAUUUUUUAAUUUGAAAUAAGGGUAGUUUUGGAAAUUUAAAAAAUUGAUAUGGUGGAGGUUAAAAUUGAUAUGGUGCAGGAAGAAUUUGCCUUUUAAAAUUGUGUUGGGUACAGAUUCACAAAUAUUGAAUGUAGGAAGAAUUUGCCUUAGCCCAAAUUAUGUCAAAAGUCACAAAAGUGACCCAAUAAGAAAAAUAAUAUUAAUAAAAUUUAAUUUAAUUUACUUUUAGAAAGCCAUAAUUUAAAACAUUUAUUUUUAUUUCCAAUAUUUUGGACUAAUAGUUUAAUCAAUUUCCGUAUUUUUAUGCAUUCAACAUUUAAGAUUCCAUUUGAAUCCUAACUUCUAAAGAGGAUGGCCAACUGGAGAAACUUUUACCAAUAUCAAAAGGAAUUGCUAAUCUUAUUAGGAAUACUGGUUAAAUACAAGUAGAUUUUACUUAUUGAAAUGCUGCCAAAUUUUUAUUCUCAGGGAUUAUACAUUGGACUGCCUAAACAAAUAAACCAACAUAGUAUUAGGUAGAGCGAUGCCUAUUUGUGAGGAAAACAUUCAUUGAUGUGCAGUAAUAUUUCUCAAGAUAAUUCAAGGCUUCCCCGUGUAACCCCAGGGAUUGUUCUUUGCCCAAUUCCACUGGUCCCUGCACAUCUCCUCCACACCAUAUUUUGCCCUGAAGGAACAGCCAAAUUAAUAUUAACAAACAAAAAAACAUAGUUACAAGAUUUGUCAAAUAUACAAGUUUAAUGAAGCUUAGUAUGCUGGUUUUUGAAUUUUGAGAAUCUAGAUUUUUCAGUCAACAAAAUCUGCUUGUCAAAAACUCAAACGAUUACCAUUUUAACCAUGCAAAGGAUUAAAGUACUUACUUCCAACCAAGCUCUGUCUCAGCUCUCUGUGUAGAUGCAUAAACCUCCGUAGCAUCUCCUGGUCUUCUUGGACAUAAUUUUACUGGAAUUUUCUGAAAAUUUCAUAUCCCACGGAAAAAAUAUUUAGUUGCGAAAAGCGAUUGAUUUACAUGAUAUAAAAUUUUACCAUUCUUACACCAUUCAAUAACUCAUUCCUUGAGGAAGAUGCAUAAUUUACCUUGCCAGAAGCCUUUUCAAAUGCUGCAACCAUUUCAAGCACAGAUGUUCCACGACCGGUUCCCAGGUUGUAAGCAGUACAACCUGAACAAAAAUAUAUCACAUUUUACUUUAGCAUAGUGAAAAAUCAACCGAUAAAUAUCAUAAGGCUAAUACAAUGACACACAAAUUUGUCCAUGUAGAUCUACCAGGGAAGAAAAACAACAAUUCACCUAUGUUAUCCGAUGUGAAGAGCUUUCUCAAGGCAGCAAUGUGACCAUCUGCUAAGUCCAUCACAUGGAUAUAGUCCCGGAUCUUAUUUUGAAUAAGGGGAAGGAAAGGAGGAUUAGAAUUUUGCACGGGUAAAAAAAUAUGUUUAUACUGUUAUUUACUUUGUCCAACAUGCACACUUUUUUCCCUAAUGCCCUGUCCUAUUAUAUGAUGUAAAAAUAAACAAAUAAAUAGGUGUAUUGUACGAACCGCAGAGCCAUCCCUGGUUGGAUAAUCAUGACCGUAUACAUUGAGUUCAGGCAACCUUUCAACAGCUACUUGCUGAAUGUAAGGCAUGAGAUUAUUUGGGAUGCCCUUGGGAUCUUCACCGAGUUUACCACUUUCAUGAGCCCCAACUGGAUUGAAGUAUCUCAGUAAUAUGAUCUUCCAUUCUGGCUCGGCUUUCUGAAUAUCUCGGGCAAUUUCUUCAAGGAAAAGCUUCAAUGAAAUGAAGUUAGAGUAAACAGAGUUAAAAUCAGUUUUUGAAAAUGCCAGCUUAUUCCGAAAAACAGUUCAAUUCAUCCUAUCUUUUUAUUUCCUUUUCCUUUAAAUACUUAUAUUAUUGAUACUUAGAACCACAGGCUGCCAACAAAAAAAGGGAAAAAAAAAAGCAAAAGUGAAAGACAACUCAGAACAAAGUGAAGGUUACCUUGGUCCGUCCAUAUGGAUUCAUAGCAUGCAACUUGAAAUCCUCCUCACACGGUAUCUUUUCAGGUUGGCCAUAAACGGUUGCAGAAGAUGAAAAAACCAUCUGUGCAGAAACAUGAUCAUGUUAAGUAAUAUUCUACACCAUCACAAGAGAAAAAAGUUAAAGGCAAGAAUCUGAUUCUGCUUCCUUGUUUGGAACAUAACGUAAAGCAUAAAAAAUCCUCCCACGAACGACUUGAAAGUUAAAGACAAUUAUGGACCAAGAAACCCUUCAAAAAUAAAUAAAAAAUAAGUUUCUACAUAAAAUAAAUUAGUUUAUAGAUAAACAAUACUUGAGAAAAACUAGCUUAGGAAGAAACUCAUCUAACUUUUUCUUUUAUUUUCCUUUCGUGGAAGUUUCAAGGCAUAUCUUUUGCCGAAAGAAACCUGUAUAGACUAUAUGUACAUGUUAAAAAAUAUUGUUAAUUCAAAUAUUGAAUUCAAUCAAACAUGUCAUUUUCAUGAUAAAUAGUGACAGCAGAGUUAAAAUCAGAAAUGGGUGAGGUGAGAACCUUUUUACAGUUAUACUUGGCCAUAACUUCGUAGAGAUUGAUGGUGCCGACCAAAUUGAAAUCAAAGUAGCGACGCGGCUUCGCCACGCUUUCCGCAACCGCCUUGAGGCCAGCGAAGUGGAUAACGGCAUCGAAUCUGUUUCAGUAUAUGAUCUCAUUAACUGAAACACUAACAAAACGUAACAAAAACUAUAACAGGAAAACGAGAAGACGCAACAUAGAGCUUACGUGGUCCUGGAGAAGAGUUUCUCCAAGUCGUCCCUGUUUCUGAGAUCGCCCUGCGAGAAGAAGAGGUGAAUUUGCAGUAUGGAAAGUUAGAGAGUGAAAUGAAAUGAAAGAGGAAGAGAGUGCAGACCUUGGUGAAUUCGAGGUUCUGAGAAAGAUGAGGGCCCACCACCUGGCGUACCCGGUCGACCGCUUCCAUGACGGAGUUGUCGAAAUUGUCGAUUAUUGAAACAGCGAAGCCUCCUUUGAGGAGCUGCACGACGGUGUGGGUGCCUAUGAAACCGGCACCACCGGUGACCAGAAUCUUUUGGGAGGGGGAAACCAUUUUGGAGAGCGCGAGAAGAAGGAGAUAAUGGAGAGUGAGAGCGAGAACGAGAAUGAGAAUGAGAGAAAUGGGAGGUGCGGUGAGAAUUUAUGGAGCGAGUGAGAGAAAAGAUGAAACGAGAUAUGGAAUGUUUAGUUUUUUUUCCUUUCCCUUUCUUUCUAAUCCGUUUCGAUUUGUUCCUUUGGCGCCUUUCUCUUUUUUUAUUAAUUAAUUAAUUAACUCAUUAUUAGCUAAUAAUCAUUAUUAUUAUUAGAGUUCUGUUAUUGUUUUGUUUGGUUUCGCGCGUGGGACCCACGCGGAUCUGCGUUGGCUGGGCACGCACGUGACCUCAUGCGCGUGGGGUUAUCACCCAACCUUUCUAGUUUCGAUAUACUUAGUCGUCUCAUCCUCAUCUCCUCACUCUUCUUUUCGGGUAAUAUCACGGUUUAUUUGUAAGAUUCGUUAUUGGUUGUGUUAUACAUGUGUUUAUUAUUUAAUUAAUACAAUCUUAAUUUUUUUAAUUCGUUAUUAAUUUUGGUCAAAACAUAUAAUUAAUUAUUCACCAGUCUAUUAUAAAUCUGCCUUUAACAAAAACUUGUCAUUACUAUUAUUUUUAUAAUAAGAACUUAAUUCAUGUUUCUAAGGUUGAUCAUUAAUUUUGUCAAAAUAAUUAAUAAUUCAUUUUAGUAAAACAUAAUUGGGUAUUAAAUUUUUCAAAAAUAAUUAUUUAUUAACUUUGUUAAAAAAUAAUUGUUUAUUAAUUAGUCUGUUACAUAUUUUUUUUUAUUCAGCAAUCAUUAGAAUAAAAACGUAAUCUAAUUUUGAUAGUAUAUUAUGAAAAAUUGAUAUGCAUUAUAAUUGACAGUGUGAGUUGAGUGUAAUUGAUAUUGAGUUAUUUUUUUUAGGCUUACACGUGGUUGUGUUCUCUGUUAGCUUUAUAAGUAUGGGUUCUAGGUGCUAGGGGUUCCGUAUUCCAGUUUUUUUUUAUUAAAAAAUAAUUUAAAUUCAAUAUAAAAAUAAAACUUGGUUUGAUUUUUUUUUCACUCUUUAAUUUAGAUCAGAUUUUACUGGUUUCCUUAAUAUAAAAAUAUAAAACACUUGUUGAAUAAAAAUAUUUCUUGUUAUUUUUUUAUAACUAUUAUCAUAUUUAUUUUUUCAACUUACUCGUAUAUUAAUAAAUAAAUUAUAUAUUCUUAUAGUUAAAAGUUAUUAUAUAAAUUUGUUACCAUGUUUUCUAUUCUAAUAUAUUUAAAAAUGUAAUAUUAAUAUAACUAUAAAUAUUCUACAAACAUAAUUUUUUAUAGUUAUUAGUUUUUAAUUAAUUUAAAAUAUAUAUUUUAAUACAAUAGUCAAAUUUAUUCGGUUCUUACUUUUUGAAUUGAAAAAGUAAUCAAAUAGAUCAGUUGAAAAUAAAAUAUAUAUAUAUAUAUAUUUAACAAAGUCAUUAUUUUAAAAUAUUAUAAUUUAAUUUAAACUCUAAACCCUAAACUAAUACGAUCUAGAAUAAUCAAAUAAGUUUAUUAUAUCAAUAUCAUUAUCAAUGUAAAAAUGCUGAAAAAAUUACCAAUGUAAAAAAUUUCACAUGGAAUGAUGUGUUUAAAUUAUAAUAUUUAAGUUACUUCAAACUUCAAUGUAUAUUUCGUGAGAUUAAGUUAUAUUUAAAAUAUAUUUUUUAAAUAAAAAGAUAAAAAAAAAUAUGAAAAAAUAUUUCAUUACAUAAAAUUAAUAUAUUUAUAUUAAACUAUCAAAAUUGAUCAAUAUAUCGAAUCAAUUAAUUUCUUCAAAUAUUUAUUAAUUUAUAAAAUGUAACAUCACAUCUAACUAAUAUACAAAUACUCAUAAAAUAUUUUGAUUUUAUCCAAUAUAGACUCCACGUAACUAAUUAUGCUUUUAAAGCAAUUAGAACAUUUACACCCAUAAACAUGCACACAAAAGAGAAGUUGUUAAAUUUUUUGUGCCUACAAUCCUAUCUACUCAUGUACCAAUUACAAUCAUGCUAGUCUCAUAAAAUAACUAGAGAAAAUAGUAAGCUACUAAUACAUUUGACUAUAAUCAAAACAUAUUUUAUUGUCUAAAUCAUUACUUUAACUACAUAUAACAUAUAUAGAUAAGUAUAAAAUAAAUAUACAAUAGAAAAUUCAAAUAAUAUCUUAAAAAAUAAUCAUAUCAAGAAUGUUUUAUUUCAUACUAACAUUUAACUCGUUUUAAGCACCUCAUGUAUACAAAUCUCGAAUUCAUAAUGUGUUUAGAUAUGCAAUAAAAUAUCUUUCAUAUUCUCACUAAUUGAAACCUUAAUUUAUAUAAUUUAGCUACUUAGUGAAACUAAGAUAUAUCUAAUAAUCAUAUGUUGUUUUAUUUAAUACAUAGAAACCGGCAAUUAAAGUGAAAAUACUAUUAUUAUGUAAAAAAUUACAUAUAUAUUGUCUAAAUAUAAAAUCAGUAAAUGUAGUUGCGAAAAAUAGAAAUAAUAAUAAUAAUUUUUGAAAGAGAAAUUUUUUUGUUAACACUGGACACAGUGAAUAAUACUAAUCAACAACCCUUUAUAAUAAUAUUAUAAUAUUUUUAAUUAAAAAAUAAAAUGAAAUUAGUUAAAAUAUUAAUUAAUUUAUUUGUUAAGAGUGUAUUUUUACUUUGUAGGUAGUGUCAAUGUGUAGGAUCUUUUGAAAGACAGCUAUAAUCUGUGCCUGCUUAGAAUGGAGUGACGUGUUAACGGAGUGGCGCAAUUGAUUGACACGCAAGCAAUCCUUUCUUGAAAUUGUGAACACGUAAUCAACAACCCAUAUACAAGCACUGCCCUCUAAACAUACAUAUUAACAUUAAUAUAACAUUUUUUGUAAUAUAAUUAUAUUAAUAGUAUUAUAAAAAAGACACGUGUUAAAUCCUCAAAACUGAUUUCAGCCACGUCAUCUCAACAUCUUGUUAGCGUGUCCUACUCUUGCCACCGUGUAAGACAGGUGCCAAUUUUUUUUAAUAAUUCUAAAGACUAUAACUCUUAAUACUAUAAUUUUAAUAUUUUUUUAUAUCAUUUAAUUAUAAAUUUAUUUUUUAUUAUAUAUUUAUUUUUAAAUCUAUCACAGUAUAUAAUUUUAAGAAUGGUAAAACUAUCAUUUUUCUAUUUGAAAUUGAGUUGAGAUUUAAAAGUUUUGUGAUUUAAAAGUUUUGUGAUUGAUUUGGGACUAAAAAACCUAAGACUGAAACGAGGUUAUCCAAAACAUUCAUUUAUGAAGUGCAUUACUUUAGCAUGUUCCAUAGUUGUUGUUCCGUGAACGCAAGCCUCUCUCACCCGAGAAAACAAGUUAGAUAAGCAACUACAUUUGUCUACAUCUUCAGAGCUUCAGAAUUCAGAAUUCAGACUUCUACAAUUGUGAGGUCGAAUGGAAUAAUAACAGUAAUAGUUUGUUUGAUGGUGUUCUUCAUUCUGAUAACAGUGAUACAUCUGCAAUCUAAAAUUUAGCAUAAUGAGUGAAAUGACAAUGGUGAUGAUAAGAUAAAUAUGUUGCCCAACCGACAAUGUGAAAAGCCCAUGGGCCGACAUGUUUCGACAGGAAACAACAGUACUUCAUUGAUCGGAGUAGUGUUUCUGAGGAGGCAUUUCUGUGUAUGCAAAAAACAAGGUCUUGUAAUUGUUUUUAAGUAAAAAUAGAGGUAAAUCAUUUUGUUCUUGGUCAAAUUCUUCAUUUCCGCGGACACUCCUCUUAAAUAGCGUGUCGGCUCGGACACCGACACUCGUAUGAUACCUGUAAGACAUGUAUUCGUGAAGUGUCCAAUUCAAAAAGUAUUUGUUAGAUUUCUGACAAUUCUAGUAUGAUUGUGAUACAAUUUUGAAAAGGAAAAAUACAUUAAUUUUCUAAAAAUUCAAAUUUUAUUGUAUGAAUUAUUAUUAUGAUUAUAAAAAUAAGAAACAAAUCUUUGUGAACCAGUCAUGAAAACAUCUUUCUGCUUUAAAAAAAAUUUGGAACAUACUUGUGCACAUAAAUCUUUAUUAUCAAUUUAUAUAAUUCAUAAUUAUAUAAUAUAUAUAGAUCCGUAUUUUACAUUUUAAAUAUUUUACGUAUCUCUGUGUCCGUGUCCAUGUCGUAUCAAUGUCUAUAUCAGUGUUUAUGGUACAUAAACAACUUAUAGACUAUACACAUUUUAUUCCCUUUACUGUUUAAUAUUUAAGAUGUAUUACCAUUGUUUUCAUGUCUCUCAUAUUUUCAUCAUGAUUUGAAAUUAAAAAUUUAAGAGACCACUCAGAAAAAUAUUGUUAUUUAUAAUCAUCUCCAAAUAUAAAAUAUAAAACUUCUAUGCUAUCAUAGGUUGACACGUAUUAUCUAUUCCGGAGUAAAGUAUAAUGUAAGCACACUUAAACGGUAAACACCUUUAAAUAUUAAAUAAUAUGUAUGCAUACAUAUAUUCAAUUAAAAAAAUCACAUGUAAUUAUACAUUUGUUAUGUCCAUAAAAAUAUUAAAAAAUUGUUACACAUAACUCAUUUAGUACUUAAACAAGAAAUUAAAACACUUUAUACCUUUUAAAAUUAAAAGACAUAUAUUAAUAAGUUUCAUCAGUAAUAAUAAAGUAACUAAAGAAAUUCUCAUGUAAAAACUUUAUCAUUUAUCUUUACCUAAUAACUUAAUUUAGAUUGUCAAUAAAAUUAGAAUAUAUUCAUCUAAUAAUGAACUUCAAUAUUUAAUAUUAUAUGAUGGUAUUUUUUGAUCAUCUCAUUUUAGUAUUUGUCAAUAGAAAAAUCUCGACUUCAAACAAAUUUUACUAGAUCUUACUGUGAAACCAAAUAUUAUAAUCAAAAUUUCUAGGAUAAUUUUAAGGACUCAUGUUAGAAUAUUCAACAUUUUCUGUCCUUCUCUUUGAUUGUAGAUCCUAUUUAUAAACAAUGUAUACUAUUAAUCACCAUACUAAAAACGUGUCGUCCGUUGUCUCUCAUAUUUUAAUCAUGAUUUAAAAUAUUUUUAUCUUUACAUUACCAUUUUAACUCAUUCUAAACUUAAGUCUACAGAAGAUAGUUAAUAAUUUUUUUUAAAACUUUUUUUAGUAUACAAUAUUUAAAGUUAUAUAAGUUGUCUAAAAUUAGAAUAUUCAAGUUUAUUGUCUAUUAUGUUCUUAUUAGGACUAGCAUGAUGGUGGUGUGCAAAAUAUAUUUAGGUCAAAUUAUUUUAUUCAGUGGAGUGAUUUAUCCUUAUUUUAAAGUAGAAUAAUUUAUUUGUAUAAAUUUGUUUAGAAAACUUUAUUACACAAGACUACGAGAUCCAUCAAUCGAUAUCAAUAAUAAGAGAUUUAAACAAAUGUAGUCAUUAUAAUCAAUCAAAUGACCACUCAAAUGUACAAUUCUUAUUUUUAUUUAGAUUAAAUUGGAUUAAAAGAAAAUCAAAGUACCCUAUCCAUAUGUGUUGGUUGAAUUUUUGAUGGAUUUAUUUAUAGAGAUAAUUCAUGUAUAAGGGUUGAAAUAUCUCUAAAGUAUCUUAUUUAAUUUAAUUUACAUAUUCAUUGCUAAUAAAAAAAAAACUAGUAUAUUUUACCAAUAAAAAACUUUUAGGAAUAGAUGGUCACAAGAGUAUUUGUUGUUGACGCAUGUUUAAAAAUAAUCAAAAACAAAAUUUUACAAUGCAUGUUGAGAAAAUAAAUAAAUACUUAAUUAAUAUUUUUUAUUUGUUUAAAUGAUUAAAAAUCACAAAUUUUAGUCGCCUUUCGGUGUAAUUCAAUGUAGAAGGACAAGUAUGUUAAAACUUCAGAAAAAAGGCCUUUUCAAGGCCCAAUGUGGUGUGUACACUAUUAUUUUCUGCACCUCCAAUCUUCCUCCCGCACUGUAUAUAUUUUUAAUUCUAACAAUAUCUUUAUGAAUAUGGUGAAGAUAUCUUUAUGAAUAUGGUGAAGAGUGAUCUCUUCCUUUAUUUUUAAGUGAUUGUAAUUGCUUGCUUGUUAUGACUGAUGAACGUUGGAAACUAAACAAAGUUACUAUUAUAAAGAAACAAUUAAAAAUUUUGCUUUUGAGAAGAGAAAUAUAGAAGAUGAAAAGAGAAAAAAAAAAAAAUUAUUAUUUAGUAGCAAAUAAGUCACCAAUAGUAAGAAAAAAUUUUUAAAAAUAAUGUAAUCCAAUGAUUUAAUUAAAAAAAUAAGAAAAAAGUAUAAGAUAUCGCAUAAGUCUCAAAUAAUAAGAAAAAAAUAAUGUAAUUCGAUUGAGUUAAUAAAUAUAAAAAAGAUACCGCUUAAGUCACAAAUAAUAAAACGAAGUUCAGAAGAAAAGAAAUCUUAACAUUAUUUAAAAUAGAAUAAUUUAGUCGCUUAAAAAAAUGUUAAAUAUUGAAAAAAAUAUCAGAAAAAGAAGAGAAUGAAAAUAAAUAAAUAAAAAAUAGUAAAAUAGUUAUGGCUUAUAUUUAUCUGGAAACCGGUGAUUGUGUUGUUUCAGUCCUCUAAUUAACUACCAUGAAAUAUAAAAAGCAUUUGUGUCUCUCUAAGAACCUUUUCUGAAAACUUUUUCUUUCUGAUUCUCCAUAUCUCAUUAUUCUUCAUUCAAGAUGCCUCAGGGAACCCUAGAAGUUUCUCUUGUUGGUGCCAAAGGCCUUGAGAACACAGAUUAUCUUGGUAAGUGCUUAUUUACACACACAAAUGUUCCAUAAUCUGUGUCAUAUUCAUCUCAAUUUCUAAUUUCUUUUCUUUAACAUUUUCAUCACACAUGCACCAUCUGAUGGAGCAGCUAACAUGGACCCUUACGUGAUCUUCACGUGUCGCACUCAAGAGCAAAAAAGCAGUGUUGCAACAGGUACACUCAUAGAUCAAACAAAUUUUGAAACAUGAUUGUUUAUUAUUAUAAUCAAAUUAUGAAUGCAGGUAAAGGAAGUAAUCCAAAGUGGAAUGAAAAUUUUGUGUUCAACAUUUCUGAAGGCGUUAACGAACUCAGGUUAAAGAUCAUGGACAGUGAUUCCAUGUCUGCCGAUGAUCUUGUCGGAGAAGUUACGUGAGUCUUUUCUCCCUCAUUUUUCUCUCAGCUCAAAAAAACUUUAUUAUUUCUUUUAAUUAAUUUAUUUAAAUUGAAUUAUUUAUCUACCGUAUCUAAUUUUGGUAUGUAUGUAUUAUAGCAUUUCGCUGGAUGCAUUGUUCAGGGAAGGGAGUAUUCCACCUACUUCAUACAAUGUUGUGAAGGAUAACCACUAUUCUGGGGAGAUUAGAAUUGGCCUCACUUUUAAGCAACGGGUAUGAAUUGUUCUUUUUUUUUCUUCUUAUUUUGUUUAUCAUGUUUAUAUAUAUAUAUAUAGAUAAUUAAUGAUGACAAAUGCUGAUAAAUCAUUCUCCAACAUGUUGUUUAUUUAUAGUUAAAAUUUGUUGUGAUCAUAAAUUUUGAUAUGUAUUACAUUUUAAGUUAAUUAUGGUAAAAACAUACCUUUGAGUGUGAAUGAAUCAGAGGAAGGUUGUUUGUUCAUCAUUUUCAUUAUAAUAUUUAUAAAUGAAAGUUAUAUAGAAGAAACAAUGAAAUUGUACUUGUUUAAUACCGGAUAUUUGUUACAUCAUUUAAUAAUUUUAUCAAAUAAUUAUAUUUCAGAAUUUCCUACUAAAUUAAAAGAUAUUAUCUUAUAGAUCAUAUUUGAAAUGUAUAUUAAUUUUAAGAUUAUUUAAUGUCAUUGAGAUGGGUUCAUAAGAUUUAUGUAAUGAAUAAAGUGUGUUUCAUCUUUGUAGAGUAUUAGUUAAAAUUUGAGUGUGUUUUGUGGUUGGUUAAUGUAGGAUCACAGGGAACGCUGCAUAGAGGAAGAUUUUGGGGGAUGGAAGGAAUCUGGCUACAGAGACUAAAUGUAUUUAUGGCAUUUCUGAGUCUUGAGUACUAUUUAUUGUGUGAGGAGACAUUAGCAUUCAGAAGUGAUAGAGUCAUGUCAAACAUAUUCUGUAAGAAAAAGAAGAAGCUCAAUGUUAAACAUUAAAUAAGUCUUGCUUAGUAUCAUGUAUCAUAUACAUGAGAAGAACCAUUCUCUAAUGAUGACCAAUGUAGUUACAAUUUUGAUGAAGAAAACUUCAAUUUUGGUUCCAUCAGGGUACACUCAUCAUUGUUGUUGUUCUGUCUACAUUUAAAUUACAUGAAAAGCAGAUAACCUAAUGCCAUAUUAAAUCUUAAAUGUGUAAUAUUUGUUUGUGGGUAAAAGGGAAAGAGAACCUUGAUAUUUGAUAUAAGAGUUAUUAGCUAAUAAAGAUAAAGAAAGUAAAAAGAAGAUUAGGGUUUAGGGUUUCUUAUUAUGAUGUUUGACAAGAACAUCUACGGCUGAAUCGUGUGGUAAUAAGGUGAGCAAACUCAAUGAAGAAGAAGAUUGAUAGCCAUAUUAAAUCUUAAAUGUGUUUUGUGGGUAAAAGGGAAAGAGAACCUUGAUAUAAGAGUUAUUAGCUAAUAAAGAUAAAGAAAGAAAGUAAAAAGAACAUAGUACAAAAUCCUUAACUCAACUUAAAGAUUAUAAUGAUGUUUGACAAGAACAUCUACGGUUGAAUCGUGUGGUAAUAAGGUCAAUGAAGAAGAUUGAUGGCAUUUUGAGGAUUAGAUUCAAUUACAGUAUGCAUAUAUAACCUUUAUUCCAUUUAUUUAAUAACUGCUAUUAUUAAACGCCCACAUUUUGUUGUUGAUUAGGAGUUAGAACCACCCUCCUAUUAUGACACUGAAUUAAUAGGGAAAAAAAGCAAAUAAUAGUUCCAAAUCCCAAUUCCUAAUAAAAUAUUUAAAAGAGGGUACAAUCAUUUCUUUAUAAUUCAAACCAGAGUCACUUCAAUAAGAGACCACAAGUCUGUUCCACCAGUUGUGUUAACCAAUAUUGGUGUUUUUAUGGUAGUUUAGUUAUGAGCUGGUAUAAAAUCAAGAAACUAAACAAAAAAAUCUCAAAAAAAGGCAAAAUUUAAACAGGCAAUUGUUAGCGUAUGCCUUUCAUAGCAUUUUCUGAUGGGGAAAAAAAAUAAGAAAAAAUACUAACUAAACCAAUUAAUAACUUGACAGACAAAGUACGGUCGUUAGAUAGUGUGACAACAACAGUUGGACUUGUGUACCUCCUUACUUUGCUUACCUAGAUCUUCCUCAACAAACAAAAGCAAAACACUAACCGAGACCUUAUGUUCACAAUGUAUUUACAAAUGUCACAAGGAAAGUAAAAGGAUGCUUAAUGACAAACAUUUUGCAGUCUACAAAAGUAUAACUACAUACCAAUAGUAGUUAUCCUGGAGGUAGCGCCAAACAUCUAACUAGCUUACCUUCUUUGAAAAUUAUUGUUGCACUGAGAAAAGUGUGUUUGAGGAUCAACUCCAGCGAAACCUUGAAUGCUUGUUUUUUCCAAGGGUAGGAAUGAAGAGCUUACUGAUGACUGCUGCCCCGGCAUGGACUUAGACCCUGUAUCAUGGAGAAAGGAGAAAUCGCUUUGUGAAAAGCUGGAAGAUCUGAAAUCUGGCAACAAUGAGACACCAUCCCUCCGUUCAUGAUAGUUAGCCGGUUCCGGGAAACAUCCUUGGAGUGUUAAAUUUUCCUCUACUGGUAUCACACCUGUAAGAGUCUUAAAUGCAAAUUCUAGGCAUGGGUCCGACCAAGAAUUCAUAAACGGUGCACAAUACUGUAACUCCGAAUUAUCGUGGUUUACAGCUCCAGUUUCAAUUAGUUGUUGCUCCGUUGUGACAGUUUCACCCUCAACUGCCUGUCCAUUUUGCUUUAAUGGCUCAUGUGCUAGUGUGUUUAUAUUCGUAGAAUGAUGCACAUGUUGUGUUAUGUUUCCAGUGAGACUAGGUUCCCCAUCCAAAUUCUUAAGUAUGUUGUAUUGAUCAAAAUCUCUAGUUGUAAACUUAGGAGCAUUUUCAUAAGAGGUGGAGCCGGUCCUCAACUCAGGUUGACUAACCAUAUUAAGCUCCUUAUUGUGAGAGGAUUGGUUCGAGUUAUCAUGAACUUCUUGAUUGAUGUCUGUCACCACACUUCGAUGCACUUGCUUAUAUGGCGGAUUAUCAAAGCCAGGAGGCAAAGCAGGCAUAAUGUCUCCACCAGCAUCAACUGGAAAAGCACCAGUGAGUGUCUUGAUAGCAAAUUCUAGGCAUGGAUCUGACCAAGAGUCCCCAAACGGUAAGGGGAGCUGUGGCUCUGAUCUCACAUCACCAACAUUUUCAGCUUCAACUUUCUCCAAUUGUUCCUUGUGAUCGGUUUGGGCAUCAUGUGACUUCUCACUCCGUUUUAAUGGUUCUCCAACUACUUCUGUUUUCAAACUAUCAGAAACUUGAAUAAGUGUAAGCUUGGUUUCUUCCCCGGCAUUGUGAUAAUCAGACACUCCAUUAGUUAAAGUAGCAGUGACACUUGGCUCUUCUUUGCAUGAUUUUCUAGUGGAAUAUUCAAGAGCUCUUUCAGCAGGCGGUAACUCAGGUUGAAGGCCAGCAAGUCGCUUUGAUAAUCGCACAGGUACUUUGAGCUCUUUCUUUCUCUUGGGUUUAUUAGAACGUACCUGGGAUUUUCUAUCCCUGCUUCCUGUAACAGUGUCAUGUAAAUUGUUUUCACUGUCCCUGCUUCCUGUAACAGUGUCAAGUAAAUUGUUAUCACUGUCCCUGCUACCCAUAACAGUGUCAAGUAAAUUAUUUUCACUGUCCCUGCUUCCUGUAACACUGUCAAUCAAAGAUUUUUUAAUAUCGGUUUCAGGGCCUGUAGAAGUGUUUUUUCCGGAUUCGUUUUCAACCAGAGUUUUUUGAACAUCAUUUUCAGGGAUUGUAGUGGCGCUACUUCCCUUAACAUUGUCAAUCAAAGUUUUUUGAAGAUCAGUUUCAGGAACUGAAGUGGCACUUCUGCCCAUGUCAACUGAAGUGGCACUUCUGCCCAUGUCAACUGAAGUGUUUGGAAUAUCAGUUUCAGGGACUGCAGCGGUGCUUCUUCCCGUAGCAAUGUCAACUGAAGCCUUUUGAAUAUCAGUUUCAGGAACUGCGGUAGUGCUCCUUCCCGUACCAUUCUCAACUGAAGCCUUUUGAAUAUCAGUUUCAGGAACUGCAGUAGUGCUCCUUCCCGUACCAUUCUCAACUGACACUUUUUGAAUAUCAGUUUCAAGGACUGCAGUGGUGCUACUUCCCGUAACAUUACCAACUGAAGUGUUUUGAGCAUCAGUUCCAGGGAUUGUAGUGGCACUUCUUCCUGGAAUAUUGUUAAACAAAGUUUUUUUAAUAUCAGUUUCAGCAACGGCACUACUGGUUAUAUUAUCAGCUGGUGGUAACACACCAGUGAGGGCAUUGAUUGCAUAUUCCAAGCUUGGGUCAGACCAUGAAUAGUGAUAUGCAAAGGACAGCCGAGGUUCUGUUCUCUCAUCAUCCAUCUCUUUUCCACAUUUCUCCAGACGAGGUUCAGACUUUCCUCUUUUAUUUGCUGACUUUCCAUUUAUUGGACCAGACUGAUUUUGCUGCAAUUCCACUUUGGAGUUCAUUGACUCAUGCUCAAUAGCAGCUAAUCGUUUUGAAGCACGACGAGGAAGGUGGUGCUCUUUCUUUUUACCUGAUUUAUUUGAUCUGAUUUGAAUUUCUGGCUUAUUGUCUUCUAUUUUAUCUGUUUCUUGCUCAUGUGGUUGUUCUUUAGGAGCUGCUUGGUCCACAGAAAUAUCAACAUCUAGAGUGUUUCUACUGUUCCUCAAGUUUCUUUUUGGAACCUGAGGAGUCUGUUCAUUCAUCACAUUGUUAACCAACUGUACGGAUUUACUUCCAGCAAGUCUCGGUGAUGAUCGCUGACGUACAUUGAACUCCUUCCUGAUUUUGGAUAUGCUAUGGUUACUGUGAUUCUCAUUACCAUUCUCCAUUGUAUUCACAGCAACCUCCUUCUCUUGCACAUCAUCUGCAGAAAGUGCUUUUGCUGAUUCCUUCAAGGAUUCAUUUUUCAAAAGUGCUGAGCUACCUGGGUCAGAUGUUUUCUUCAAUUCAGAUGAGUUUGCAGCUCCAUCGUCUAGUGAAUGCAUCUUUACAACAGAAUCACCUAUGGGAACAGAAGCAACCUUCGUUGCAGCCUGCUUCAGCUUCCGUCUCUUGGCAGCAGGUGGUGGCUAGAUUGAACAAAAGAAGGUAUAUAAAUUAUUCUUUAUGAAUUCUUAGAUGCAAACACAAAAAUUAAUGAUUCCGAGACCCACUUUAAGAUUGUUCUUUGUUAAUCAUUCAGAGCUUGGACUACUCAUCAUAUACAAUUCUACAACUUUAGACAACUAAAUCAACCAAAAUUUAUAAAGAACACUGUGCAAGUAUGCAAAUCUUAAAAAAAGAUAAAUUCUUAACAUGCUUGAAAUAAGUGAGUCUUAAAUCUGACGUGAUUAAAAAAAUCCCCUAGAUUUCAAUCACUUAUUGACAGCUUGAAGUAAGAACUAAUGAAUAAUAAGAAUACUCCAUAAAAGCAGCAAUGAUAAUAUGGUAGUCAUGCAAAAAUAUCUUACAGUUAUGUUGUCUUCAUCUUGGAUUUGUCUUCUACUUGGCUUAAAGGCACAUGACCGAACAUCACCAGAUUCAAGAUACCGCAGUACAUCCUUCUUAGAGCGGAAUACAUAUCCACUCACUGGAUCAAUAUAAAACUGUUGGAAGUGUAACGCAAUCAUAAUUUAUAUAAGCAUCAACUUUUGAAAAACUGUAAAUGUAGCAUGUAACUCAAUAAACCAAAACAGAUUUAUUUGCAACCCUCUUCUCUAAAUGGGAGAAGACAAUAAUCACUUGAUUUGAAGGAGAAAAAAUGUAACAUUACAUAAAAAUCUAUCUUUCUUAUAAUAUGUAAAAAGAUAUCCUUUUGGGUGAAAAAUUUUCAUACCGGAUCUUUCCGAAUGCCCUUGCUGUUCUUUGUAAUCUUUAAUUCUUUUACCCACCCAGGUGGUAAAUCCUCCGCAAUAGACUUCUCAAUCACAAUCUAAAACACCAAAAAGCUUGGAAAAUUAAACAUAAAACGAUGUUACAUAUAUAAGUUAUAAUUCAUAAAAACAUUCAAUGGACUAAAUAAAGGCUCAUCCAAUAAUCAAUUUUAUAAAAGCAAGGCUAUAACAUUUAUUUGUAAACUUUCUAUGUCUUUUGUUUGUAAAAGUGUAAAUGUGUUAGCACACAACCCAAGUAGACAAAAGUCGCAGAAGAUAUGAAAUAAUUUAUUCAACCUGUAAGAAAGAGACAGACUAGGGCUUAAAAUUCUUACCAUUCAUAGUGUUCAACAAAAGAAACACAAGCCAAAUUGUUGAUGUAAAUGUGCAAAGAAACAAAUUCAUAAACUUGAGGCAAUAAGAUGAGGCAGUCAUUUAAAUUUCAUGAAUGGGGCCAUUUUCUUAUGUGGGCCACAUUCUUUCAUGGUUUAAAUCUAUAACCUUUUCCUCUUGUGGUUGUAUUUUCAAGUUAACUUUCAUACCAUGGUCCUUGUUGCACAAUAAAUAAUCAAUAGUCCUGCAUUUAGUGUGAUUUUGGGUUCAUAACUUCAUAAGCCAUAAAUCAUCAAUCAUAUACUUAAGAUGAUAAUAAGAAGAAUCAAUCUUCAAUCUAAUGAUAACAUUCAUAAUUCAUUAAUAACAAACAGAAAAAAAUGCAAGGAAAAAGUGAUACAUACAUCAAUUGGAGAAUCCAUGUUACUGCAAUUCUUCUCCUUCUUUGGAGCGCAACUGCUGUCCUUUGCGGAAUCCAUGUUAGUGCCUAUCUUCUCCUUCUUGGAUGUGCAACUGUUUUCGAUGGAAGAAUCCAAGUUACUCCCAUCCUUCUCCUUCUUGGGAGCGCAACUGUUGUUUGGAAAAUCCAUGUUACUGUACUUCUCCUCCUCCUUGGGAGUGUCACUGUUGUCAUUUGGAAACUCCAUGCUAGUGCUUUUUUUCUCCUUCUUGGAACUGCAGCUCUUGUUGUUUGGAGUCUGCAUUUUACUGCAUUUCUUCUCCUUGGAAGUGCAACUCUUGUCAUUUGGAGUAUUUAUCUUACUACAUUUCUUCCCCUUCUUGGAAGUGCAACUGCUGUCCUUUACUGUUUCGAGAUAUCGUAAUACCUCUGGUUUGGAGAAGAAUUUGUAUCCUUUCAAUGGUUCGAUGUAACACUGGAACAAGAAAACAUUUUUAUAGUGAGAGAUAAGUAGCUUUAAUAAUGUUGAACUGUUGAUAUUAAGAUGCCAGAAAAAAAUACCAGUGACAAAGCAAAAACACAUAAAAUACCACCAAAGAUUACAGAAUCACAUGAGCACAUCAAUUAAAGAGUGUAGAAUUUAGCCUUUUAAGAAUAAAUAUAAUUACCAUCGUAAAAUUAAUUGAGCAUGAUCUUGAAAGAUGUAACCUAAAAUCCAGCUCAUCAAUUUAGGACAAAUGUCACAAGCCAGACAAAUUGGGGAAAACAUUAGUAAUGCUGUAACCACCAUACACUUAAGUCAUGCGUGUUAUGAAGAAUUGAGUUUGAGAUUUUCAAGUAAACUUCUGCUACACAAUUCUCCAAAAACUAUUCAUGAUUCAAGGCCAGAAACUUGUGAACAGUGCAAGUUAUACACUAAUAAUGUCAACCAUACAUUAGUGGCAGCAGUAAGUAACUACAUGACUAACAUCAAGCUGGUGUUUAAGGAGUAAUAUUAAGUUGCUGACAAUCUACAAAAGUAACAUCCAAAUUAAGAGAAUCUAUCUCCCACCUUGUAUCCUGAUCCCAUGUGUAAACCACUUUUACGGAUUCUGACUUCCAUGUUCCAGCCAUCAGGUAACCAUUCAGGAUGUUCGUCAGCUUUUUCUACACUCUGAAAUUAUCAAAAUGAACUAAGUAACAAGUGAUAAAGAUUUUUCAUAAAGUUGGGGUAGGAAAAACCCCAAAAUAAAAAAUCUUCAAAAUUCAUACCCACCUGCUGUUUGGAAUUAGAAUUUGUGUUACUGUCAAUCUGUGUAUUGGUUUCUUCAGACUUUUCAAUAUCAGGACUUCCCAUUUUCAGAACGUGGGUUAUGUUAUUAAAGAUAAAACAAAUUCACAAAAGCCUCAAAGCUCUGUACAUCUCCCUUAUCCCAAUAAUCUGUAUCCACUGCAAAAAAACUUGCAGUCUGACUCGUUUUAUUUAGUCAAGAAAGAGGGAUAAGUAACAUGCAACACAUGUUAGGAGCCACAACUUGCCCACCAAAGUAGACUAAGCCGGAUUUUUCCCAUCACCGCUGAAACCCUGCAACACAAAACAACUCUCAUGAAUCAUAAGAAAGAAACGGCUUCAAUGGACAUGCAUGUGCCAAAAUCAAGAAUAACAUCAAGAAACAGAUUGAACUCAUCGAAACACAAACCCAGAACAACCAUGAAAAUGAGGGCAACCUGGUCAGAUAGUUUUUCACUAUCUCCCAAUCAAACCGAAGAUCAAAUUUCUUAUAUGAAGAGAAGAAAGAAAGCAAAAAACAUACUUUAGCAAACCAUAAUCUUUGGUCCUUGGUUGGGAAACACAAAGGGAAAGUACACAAAAUAAUAUAAAUGAAUCUAGACACAACAGAUGCAUUGAUUUCUACUAAAACCUCAUCCAACCCCCACCUCCAAGCCUCCAACCUCUUGCCCCAACAAAUCAUCAACAUAUUCGAACAAAAUAACAACACCAAUCAAAAGUAACAAUUACUUGCACACACACAGACGAAGCAAAAACUACCAUGCUACAUAAACUAAAAAUUAAGCUAAAAAAACAAAAUUAGGUAGUAGUUACACUGAGAGAUGGAGAGAGGAAUUGGUGGAUCCAGCGAUUUUCGAAAGGGUGAAAGUGAAAUUGUGGGUUGGCUAAGGAGAAGUGAGGGUAUGAUAAGAGUUUCGAGGAUUGCUUUAGAUGCUUUUAUUUGUGUCUGAGAAUAUUUAAUCUGAGUCCACGGAUCCGCCUCCCAUCCCACGUGUUCUAUUGAAUGAAAGAUUGAAAUGUAACACACUUUUUGUUUCUCCCAAAAUUAUUUUUAUUUUACUUAAAUAAAUGUGUUAGGUCAGUUUUUCUCUCACUCACGCAUCUCCCAAACACUUUUACUGCAUCAUUCCACUUUCACUCUUCUUUUUUCUUCCUUCAAUCUCUUUUUCAAAUGGAAAAUAAUUGCAUGAUCCUGUCUUCAUUUUUCCUCAAUAAUAUAUCUAUUAGAUUAUGCUAUAAAUAAUAUGGAAGAUUCAGGUAAUAAAUAAAACUUGUUGCAUUUAUUUUUAUUUGGAAUAUACCACAACCAUUUUUUCCUCCUUUCACCUAAAUUUACUCUCUUACUACUACCUCUUUUUAAACAUUUUUUUUUUGUAUCCUUUGUCUUUUAUUCUUAAAUUAAAAUUUAACGUUGUUGAAUCAAAUUAAUAUUUUUGUCAUUAAAUAUCUUUUACAAUAGUAUAUUUAUAUUAUGAUGGUGAUUCAUAAAAAAUAGUGUGGAAUUUUUUUCUCCAAAUACCAAUAAUACUAAUGAUUUAAUAGCUUCUGAUUAAGUUAUACGGGCACACACGAGUUGAGUCUAUUAAAAAAAUUAUGUAAAUAUCAUUUCAUUAUUAAAAAAAAAGUUAAAUAUGUUUUGGGAAAAUUGGUUUUCAUACCUUAUACAAACAAACAUAUCGUAUAUGUGUUUUUAAGUAUGAAAAUAAUUAAAAUAAAUAAUUUUAUAUAUGAAAUUGAUUUAAUUUAAAAUUUUACUUUAUCAAUCAAUUUGAAAUAAAUAUACUAAACAUCAGUUUAUAAUCAAAAUAAUAAAAAGAUUUAAAAAAUAAUUUAAUUUUUAAAAAAAAAUUAACAAUCAUUUUAAAUACAAACUCAUUUUUAUUAUUUUCUUACUAUAUAUACCUAAAUAGUCUAAAAUUUUAUAGACAAAAAUUAAAUUUGUGUUAUGAUAUAGGAAAAAAAACAUAUGUAUAGUUAAAAAAAUAUACACAUAUUGCAUGCAUAUACUCAAAAGUCACAUAAAUAAAUAGAAAAAAAAUAUUGAGAAAAAUGUUAUUACUUCAUUGAAUAAAUUCAUCAUAAAAUAUAAAUAAAUUAAUUUUUUCCUGUUUUCAUCUUCUAAAGUUAAUUUAAACAUGGUGAUAGUAUAAAAAUAUGAAACUAGCAUCUAAUUAAAAAUCAUUAUAUAAAGUAAGAUGGCUAAAGAAGAAGAAAAAAAUCACCAAAUCAGAAACACGUGGCUAGUCCAAAAAGGGAAGUCACAUUGCCAAAUAGAGUGAUUAAUUGAAGUGAGAAACCCACCUGAAAAAUGAUGUUAAUACUUUUAGUCUAUAUAACUUUUUUAAGAAAUCUUGAUAGUUGUUUUUUUAAUUAGGAAUUUAUUAAAUUGUUAAAAACAUAUGAAAAUGUUAAAAAUGCAUAUUUUGACGUAUUAUAAUGAAAAAAUCCAUUUUAAUGUUGUAACUCCUAUUUUUAAAAUGUUUGUUAUUUUUGUGUUAAAUAUUUUUUUUUAUAUACUAUAACACAAUUUUUUUUUCUUGAUUCAAACUUUAUAUCAUUGAGGUAUUUAUAGUAAAAAAAUAGUUGAAAUUAUCAUUUUAUAUGUAAAAUGAUUGUUUAUUUUUUAAAAAAUUUGUUGUUAUUUUGAUGAUGUCUAUGAAAAAUAGUUUCAAUGGGUUGAUGAAGUUGAAACAUAAAUUGAAUCCAUUAAAAAAAAAAAAACUUAUUCAGAUCAUUUUUAUACUAUAAACACCUAUGUGAUUUAAAGUUUGAAGUAAAGACGAAAACAAAUUUUGUGUUAUAAUACUUAAACGGAAAAACAUAUUUAACUUUUAUUUUUAAUAACACAAAACAUAAAAAAAAUUAUAUAGUUAAACAAGUUUUACUUUUUAUUUGGUUAAAAAUCUUUAACUUUUGUAUCUAUAACAUUUAGGUGUUGAAUUAAGGAUUAUAGUUUGAAAAUGUAUGUUUUUGCAAACUAAGAACAAGAAAGAUGAAAUAUUUAAGUUGAAGAUAAGUAUUUAAAUAAGUUAUAACAACUCUUAUCUCUUUUGUAUGGAUGUAUUUAAAUUUUACCAUUUCAACUUUUAAUUAUUUUAUACUGAUAAGUGUGCCAACAAUGUAUUAAAAAACAAAAUUCACUUUAAAUUAUACUUUACUAAAAAGUUAUAAAAUAAAUUGUUUUUUAACUUAUAAUUGAAUUUCUAUAUGAAAGUCAAACAAAUCCUAUCUCAUUUUCUAUAUAAACCAAUUAUUCUCUCUUCACUCUUUUACUUACAUAAUGCACCAUAUUCGAAAAUGGUAAUACAAUAAAAGUAGCUAUUGCAAUUUUAAUAUAAAUUUACACUCACAAAAAAUCUAAUAAAUAAGUAUGUUCAAUUUAUUAAUUGAUUUAUCUUCUCAAAUUUUAAUGAAUUAUUAAUUUUCUCUCUCUAAUGUGUCUUUAAAUUAAUUGCUCUUUCUUACUUAAAAUAAAAUUUAUAAGUAUGCAAAGGAAGCAUUAAAGAAAAAAUAAAUAAUUAAAUAUUUACUAAAAAUACAGGUAUAUUUUUUUCUUUCACAUAAAUUUAUAAUUUAUAUCACUUCUUUUAUAUUAUUUUCAUUCAAAAUGAUAAUUACACACCAAUUACAAAUAAUAUAUAUAUAUAUAUAUAUAUAUUUUAUAAAUAUUAAAUCUUAAUUUUUAAAAUAAAAUAAUAUAAUAAAAAAUUUGGACACAGUGCACGUGCUUCCCAUUAGGAUGUAUUAAAAAAAGUGAAAUUAUUUUAUUAAAAUUGUUUUUCAAAAUUGCUAUUCUUAAUAUGUUGGUGUUGUUGUGUUGUGGAUAGUGGCUGACUCCAAUCCAACCAAAGCAAAGUGAGUAACCGCAAAAAGUCUUUGCUUCCAUUCACGGUUAGCUUCUCUCUCUCAACUCUCUGCUUUCCCUGCAACAAGAUUAGGGCAUUCAAAACUCAACACUCACUUCCCCAAAAGCUUCUUCUUUUCUACUUCCCUUUUGGACGCUAUCACUUUCUCCCUGUUAGGGUUUUUUUUCUUUCCAAUUCCCCCUUCUCUGUUCUCAAUUUGCACACUCAACUUGAGUUUUACACUCUUGGUGCUGCGAAUUUCAAACUGAGUAACGUAACCGUCGUUCGUGUGUUUCGCUUUUCAGAUGGCGUUGCAGGAGAGGUUGGACAAGUUCAAGAAGCAGCAAGAAAAGUGCCAAACGACACUGUCAAGCAUUGCAGCAAGCAAGGCCGCAGCAAGCCAAAAAUCUGCCGCGCAUGGCUCGGCCAAUGGAAGAAACGCGCCCCCUGCGGUUAAGUUUUCGAACGACACGGAGAGGCUUCAGCAUAUUAACAGCAUACGUAAAGCCCCUGUGGGUGCUCAGAUGAAGCGUGUUAUUGAUCUCCUUCUGGAGGUACCUAUCCAAUUUGCCUCCAACUGUAUUGGUCUUUGUUUCAUCGGGUUUGUGGUUUUAUUCUCAUUCUUUUAUGGUACUAGUGAUGGAUAAGUCACCCUCAUGAUAGAAAAAUAAAAAAUGGAGUUUUUCUUGGCACUUGCAUGCUUUGGGUUGUCUGCAUGUUAAGUCCUGUUUGGAUAAACAUGUCAACUGACACUUGACAUUGUUUGGAUAAAUUUCUCAAAAAAAACUUGGGCAUGUCAAUUAAACUUCUCAAGAAACACUUAGGUAUUGUUUGGAUAAAUUUAAAAUUAACUUUUGAAUAAGUUAGAAUUAUCUUAUGCAUAAGGUAAAACCAACUUUUGGAGAAGUUAAAUUAGAGAAUUUCUAUAAAAUGAAGUGUAUAAGUUGAUUUUAACUUAUUGGAGAAGUUUAAUUCAUUUUAUCUUUUUCUUUUAAUUUUCUACUACUUUUAAUUUAGAAAUUUGUCCAAAUUAGGUUUCAGUUUUAAAUUUCAAAUCUGUGUUCCUAAAUCACCGAUGAGGAGAUUUUUUUUCCGUAAUAGUCCACCGGAUGUGUAUAAUAUAACCAUAAGAAUCUACAGGACAUGUAUAACCACGCUUUUGUUUCAGCCUUCUUGAAGUUAAUUUGUGGCUAAUGAAUCUGAAAUGGUGAUUGAUGCUGUCUAAGGUUGAUGGAUUUGUUUUAUCAUUCUCUUAUCUUUAUGUGUUUGCCGACAGACGAGACAAGCUUUAACACCGGAGCAAAUAAACCAGGCAUGCUAUGUUGACAUAAAGGCUAACAAAGAUGUCUUUGAGAAUCUUAGGAAAAACCCAAAAGUGAAUUAUGACGGCCUACGAUUCUCUUACAAGGUUACUUUUAUUCACGCACCUACAUGAUAUAUCUGUACUACUGUAGUUCUUAACAUUCAUUUAUGCGGAUGAUCCUUUAGAAAAUAACAUGUUCCUCUUCUUUUGUUGUUUGCUUUUGGUCUGUAGUCAAAGUAUGGUCUUAAGGACAAAACAGAACUUCUUCAACUGAUACGCAAGUAUCCUGAGGGCCUUGCGGUUAUUGACUUAAAAGAUGCUUACCCCACUGUGAUGGAAGACUUGCAGGUAAAAUGACUUUUAUUAGAUCCCCCCAUUGAGCAUUUCUUGGUAUUGAUUUUCCGGGACACUGGUUGUUUUUUCCUAGACUAGAUAUAUGUAAUAAUUUCUUUUACAUUUGACUCAUGUCUACAUAAUGUAUUUUGGAGAAACAUGAAUGCACGUUGGUCCGUUUGUAAAUUUAUUUUGCCACUUUCUCCUAACAAUUAUACUAUAGCAUUUAGGUUAGUACCGAGGCAAUGAAACCAUUUUUUUAAUCAGUCAUUAGAAAACCUUGCUGUCAAAGGUGCCGCUAGCUUGAGUGCAGUUCAAUCUUUCCUGAUACACAUAUUGGGUUUGGACUUUGGAGCUGUGUUAACGGGCAGAAUUUCAGGUGUUCUUACUGCAGGAGUUCAAUUUGAAGGCCAUCCUGCCUAGUAGUAUAAAAAAACACGUUGAAAUUUUCCUCCUUGCAUUUCUCUGCAUCUGUUUUGUCUUUCCUUUUGUAUUUUUUUCCAAGAUCAUUGACCUUGCUUAUUUUCUUAUUGAGGUUUAUGCUGACAUAUCAAUGGAUAUCUUGUUUGCUUUUUAACAAAAUAUGUAAAUAAGGAUAGAACCAUUUGAUGAAGUGGAAUUAAAAUGACUUCAAUUAGAUGACUUGUAGUGCUAGUUAAUGUUUUUGCACAAAUUGCAGAGUCAAAAUGUUGAAAAUAAAUGUUUUUAUCAUGGAAUAGGACCUUAUAGACCUUUCGGUUUGUAGGCUUUGAAAGCUGCAGGGCAGAUUUGGCUGCUGUCCAACUUUGAUUCACAGGAAGACAUUGCCUACCCUAACGACCCCAAAUUGCACAUUAAGGUUGAUGAUGAUCUAAAACAGCUUUUCCGGGGUAUUGAAUUGCCUCGUGAUAUGAUUGAUAUAGAGAAGGAUCUUCAAAAGAAUGGAAUGAAGCCCGCCACCAACACUGCAAAGAGGAGGAGUGCAGCACAAAUUCAAGGCAUUUCUUCCAAGCCCAAGCCUAAGAAAAAGAAGAGUGAAAUCAACAAGAGAACGAAGCUGACCAAUGCCCAUCUUCCAGAGCUUUUUCAAAACUUGAACAAUUCCUGAUUAGCUCUCAACUAGUGUUGUAUUAGUUCAAAUAGACAAUGUAUCAGACAGCCUAUAAACUAGAUUAUUAGACUGAAAUAGUCAGGAGGUUCUUGCUGCUCUUUCCUACUCUUAUUUGUUUAGAAUUUUUAUUUUUUAUUUUAUACAUCAAGGCUGUAGCUGACGGACUGUUGUGAUCUGUAACAACUGGUAAUAAUUUGUGAAUCCUUGUAUAUUAAAACCAUGUUAUAUUCAUUUUCCUAGUCUUGUAACUUUCUAUACAUCAAUUAGUAGAUCGAAAGUUCAAUUCUUUUAUUCAACUCUACAAGUGAAACAAAGCAUUUCUUUGCAGUAUAAACUACCCAAUGUUUCAAAAGUGGGUUUGUUUGAAACACCCGGAUCUCCACUUAAGCCUGCAACAGUCCUAUAUGUAGUUCUGGACUUCAAUUGUGAUCAUGCUUAGUAAUCAAAAUUAGCACUGAUUACAGGUUGCAGACAGAGGCCAGAUUCCCGAGUACAAAGCAAGCUGUGAAAAUACCUACAAUACUUGCAAACCCCGGUAUAAAAACAAACCAACAAAAUAUCUAUUCUGCUGAUACAUUUUUUUGUGUCAGCCCACCUAGAAAUGAAAGGAAAAAUAGACUAUGAAUGCUAAUGUACGAGGGAGAUUAAUUAAAAAAAAGGAUGGUGAAUUGUGAUAGAAUGACAGUGAAGAUGUUGGUAAAAUAACUAUAAUAAAAAUUAUGAUGUAUAAAAAUUAUUGCUUCAUAGGUGUAAAUUUGAAUGUUGUGUAAAAAGUUUUUAAAUGAAUAAAUGAGAGAGAGAGAGAGCAACAGAAAGUGUAGUUCACUUAAAAUGUAAGGCGCCAAAUUUUGCGUGGUAUUUAAAUGAAAGGCGUUGGUUUUUCCCAGUCCACCCAUUUUUUUUUCCAGCCAAUUUGUUGCUUUUGUGAUAAAAUAAAACUCAGUGUCGAUUUUAUCGGAGAAGAGAAGCGCAAAGCUGAAGGAAAUGGGUUUUGCGAUGCAAUGGUCAAGCUAUGGCUCUUGUGUUUCUCUUUCUAUCCCUCAUCGGUUCCCCCAAGCCCUUCUAUCUUUUCACGGUCUGUGAAUUUCCCCCUUCAACUCUCAAUUCCAUUGAUCUUCAUUUUUUUAACCCUUAUCACAUCAAUUCCAAUUUCUUUUCCAGCUUACCACUGGAACCGAUUCCAGACUGCGCCAAAGAAUCAAAGGAUAACGGUUCUUUGUGGCGCCGACCACCGAAGCUCCAGCCUAGGUUCUGAGAGGAAAAGGUCUCUGCUGCCAUUCAUUGUUGCACUUCCAAUUUUCAUCUUCUGGAUUUUCUCCUUUUUUAUAUGAAUAUCAAUGUUUCAAUUUCUCGUAGAAAAAUCGUGGAACACGUUUGUCUGCUGAAAGCAAAGAAGGAUUUAUCAGAAGAGGAAGAGAACGACAUGCUCGAUUACUUGUACACUACGCAGUACCAAAUGAGUGGUGUUGUUGCAAUUUCAUUAGGUGGAGCGGCGUACAUCAUAUGCAUUCCCUAAUUACGUACCUUUAUCUACCGUUGCUUUAAAUUAACCCCCCUACGUGUGAUCUAGUGUUAGUUCCUUUUGUUGCCAAUGACCUUGUUGAUUCUUUAGGGCGCAUUUCUGCUCCAAAUCCAGAGCGUUACACGCAUGCAAUGUUUAUGCGGUUUCAGAAGAAGCAAAAUCUUGAAAAGUUUUAUGAGAAUCCCUUUUACUUGAAGGUUCUCAAGGAUCAUGUACUGACUUACUGCCAUGUAUGCACCAACAUGUAAACACCGAUUCUCUGUUUCCUUAUUUUACGGUUAUUGCUGCGUGAACCUCUGGGUGUGAGCAGUUUAACUUGGUUUUCAUUUGAUUUAUGUUUCAGGGAUUAGUCGAUGUGGAUUUUGAAUCGGAAGUGGAUGAUGAGAUGCUUUCUAUAUUUCGCAAAGGAGAGGUUGGGCUAUAAAUUAAAGGGUUGUUCAUUAAAUGUUGAUUUGACCAUAAGCUAGGGCCACAAAUUCUAUUCACAUUAGAAACUUUGAAAGGAAACGGACAUAAAUGCAUCUAUGUUGUCAAUAUUUGCUCUUGUACAUUUUAGGUUAAGGUGUCGCUUUUUUGUUCAUAUCUCAUUACGUAUGUCACGUCCUGUUUCUGAUUCUUGCAAUGUAUAUACCAGGAGUUCAACCAUGGAGUGGAGUUUGUGCUUCUAAUAUCAUUUAAUGAGGCUGCCCUUGGUAAGCAGGCUGAGCAUGCAUUGGCCUCUCUGGCAUCGGUGAUGUCUGAAUCUCCUUCCUUGAUAGUUCAAUUUACUCUAGGUAAGCUUCCAGUACCACCAUCACUUAUACAGUUGUUUCCUUCUUAAUUUUCUUGUUCUGUUGGCUCAUCAAAAGUUAAAAAAUUUCACAAUAGAAUAGUAUGAAAGUUAGGGUGAGCUUUGGCACAAUGGAAAGGUUACUGCCUAGUAACUAAGAGAUGGCGGGUUCAAAUAUUGAAACAACCUCUGUGCUUGACCCCACUUGGUGGGAGUGCAGUUGGUUGCACUGUAUAAAAUAGCACGAAGAAUAUCCUUUUCACUGAAUUUUGAUUUGUAACUGCCUAACUGGGUUAUUACUAUAUUGCCAGGUUUGAAUUUUAGUCCAAGCUCUAAGGAGUAUACUCACGGAGUUGUGAUACGAUUUCGAUCAGGUAAUCUAAGUCUCAUGAUCUUUAGCAUCUGUUUUCGUUUCAGUACAGCACUGGUACUGAUUGAUGAUGACAUUUCUUCUGCAGUUGAGGCAUUUGAGAUAUUUAUAAACAGCAAAGAGUACAAAAAUGUAAGAAACCUUUUAUUGUUUCUGACACAUUUGGAUUUGGGCUGUUAUUUUUCUUACAGAUUUUGGUCUAAAGUAGCGUGUAUUGUAUUUUAGAGACGAUUAUAAUUUCAUCUCCAUGCCACACUUUAAACAGAAAACGUAUCUGAAUGUAUUCUUUUUCUGUAAACAAUAUAAUUAUAAAUUUUGCUUGGGUUUGUGUUGUCGUUUUCUCUAGGUAAAUGACAAUUGUAAUUAGUUGGGUGACGGUCAUUUUUAGGUUUCUUUGAGAAUGGGUUUUCGGAGGGAAAUGGAAGAGAGGUUAAAUUUUUCAUUUCUAAUAAAUAUUUCUAAUUUGAUACCUUUUUUUAAAGUAAAUAACGUAAAAUGAUAGAUUAGUAUAAUUUUUCUUUUACCCUUCGCUUGUUUAAGUGUACAUUAUAUAUUCCCUUAAUUUAAAAUUGAAAAUUUUUGCUUGAGUACAUGAAGUACAUCAUAUAUUGCCCUUUUGAGUUUUUCCAUUUUGAUAAUUUCAACUUAAUAAGAUGAAUUUCUAAUGAGCAAAUUUGAAUAUAACUUCAUGAUGUAAGUGUAUUUAAAAAACUAAACUAUUACCACUGUAACCAUAUCUUGGGAAAAUGCACAGCAAGGUUCUAAGUUAUCUUUGAAUUUGAAAAACAGGUAUGGCAUUCUAAGUUCCAGCCUAUCGCUCACAAAUCUUUGUCUCUUCAUUUUUCUGUUGAUCCUGUGGGAACUGAAAUUAUGUAGCGAGGAUGUUUUAUGGUAAGUUUUUACAAUUCACUCACUUGGCUUAUGUGGAAGGGAGAUUCAUAUUUCACAUAUUUUAUGCCAAAUGUUUGCAGGUUGUCAACAAGAGAUGCGGCUUGGUUUUCUCUUUUUAGAAACAAGGGUGAAGGUUAUUUCCUACCUUUUGUUUUCCCUUUGUUUUUUGCCAUGAAUUAUGAAUAUAGUAUAGGUGUCCACUUAAUUGCCUCAGUUUUUUUGUUUAUUUAUACAUUUGCAUGUAAAAUUGUGCAUUUUGCCAAAGUCCUUCUUUAUACAUUUUGCCAAACUUAAUUCCAUCUUUAUAUUGCUUUGCCAAAGUAUUACAUGGUACUUUUUUUUCUCCGGUAAAAAUUGUUGCAUAAUUUCAAUACUGGUCUAUGGACAUAUGCUAAACUAUCAGCUAUUUAUCAGUUAAACCACUACGAGUCAACGAAAAUAGUAUUGAAACUCCCUGUGAGGGGAGGACUUGGAUGGGUGAUCUUGAGAUAAGAGUCUAUUCAGAAGAUACAUUGUUUUCCCCCACCAACCACACCAAAAGAUUCCCUUUUUAUCAAUUUAUAACAAUAUUGCAUUAAAUUUUUUAUUUAAUUUUUUUUCAUUAUUGUUGAGGGUUUGGUUUUUAACCGAGAUAAUAAUAUUGUGUAAUCCAUGUAGUCAAUCUCAUCUAGCGAGAUAGGUUGUUGACAAAGAUUGAGUAAAUAUUCAUGCAUGUCUACUGUUACCUUCGCUGUUAGCACUUACCAUUUUGUUAUGUUCCCAGCAAGCACAUCAAAUGGUAUAAGCAGUGAAAUGAAAAGUCCAAAUAUGUGUUUUCCUGAAAGACUUGCACAAUAAUUACGAAAUUUACAAUUUCUUACUACCUAGACUAAUUAAUUUAUGAAAUAUUGCUAUAGAAGAGAUUAAUGACUAUUUAGGAGUCACUAAGAGCUAAAAUAAUAAAGACAAGUAAAUACUAACGAGGCUCGUGCAAACAAUAUGAAAAUGUUGGGGUUGGAUUUCACUAAACACCAUACUCUUCUUGCAUUUCUCCAUUUUGAGAUUAAAAGAAAUGAGAAUUUGGGUUGGCAGCUGGGCUUUUAUUCUUAACCUCGGGAAAUCUGAGUUCUCCAGAUUGAGCUUUAGAGUAACACUUAAGGAUGAUAAAUUUGACUUUGAAAACUCAAUUUGUUUCCACUAUGAGUUUCACUUUAUCUUUCAAAAGCUUUAUUGUCAAAGUCCUGCAAUCUUGUUACGGAGACUUCUUUUACUGCUAUUUACUGGCAUGUGAGUGAAAGAAAUUGGGGGAAACUACCAAAAUCUAAGUAAAUAUCAAUCUUGAAAGAAAAAUGAUAUUUAGUCAUAAUUUCUUUUACAGUCACCUUAUUAUGUUUCUUUCUUUCAUUGUUCAUAUUUUAGUCAGAAGUUCCCUUUUAGCAUACCUUCUACCACAAAUUAUUCAGAUUCCCAACCCGAGAAUUACACAGGUCAUAGAGAAUUUUAAACAUAAUUUUUGUUUGCAAAUUUUCAAGAACACUUUAUUCUUUUGGAUAAAUGUCUGCAUAGUUCAUUAUUUUUCCAUUGAAUCAAAGUACAAUUUCUGUCUUUAGAAGACUUGGACGAUGAUGCUCAAGAACUAUCCAUUCUACAUCUUUAAUGGGAAACUAAAAAAUAUUUUACACCAGAAGCCUGCAAAAACUUGUAUAACUUGACAAGCAGCAGAUUGAUAGAUAGUUGAUCAGUUAUGAAGGGGGUUUGGACCCCCUGGAACAUCUCGUAGGGAAACUCCAUAAAGUGGGUGGACCUUUUCUGUGCUAGGUCCCUGUUGUGUCUUUGUAUAGAAAUGCCAUGAGAUUGAGAGCCGUUGAGAAGAGGUGCUUUUUUCUUUUUGCUUGAUUUCCUUAUUCAUCCAUCUGCCGGCCUUGCAGCAACUUGAGAGCUGGCUAAGCAUCAGUAUAGUCAUUAAGAUCAGAAGUGAGAGCCUUGAAUAUUGAACUGCCAUCACUGCAGUCUUGUGAGUUGUGAGAAACAUAAAAUACCAACUAACACAGUAAUAAAGAGAAAGCCUGAAUUUAGUUAUUCUCUUAUGCAGGACAGUUUAUUGUCCCUUUAUACGAGGUCAGGGAAGAAUUAGAGAAGAUAGAGCCAAAACUAAAUUGAUUUCAGUGAAAUGGCCAAACUGCCCACUGACCAUAAAUGGAUUUGCUGUCCGACCAUUGCUGGACUAGUUGACAAAACAGAAUCAAGAUUAAGCAAUUGUGCUUGUUUCAGGCACAGUUGCGUGUGUUCACUUAUUUUGAUUCAGGUCAUUUAGUUGGAAUUUCACUCUGAUGAUUCAGAUAACUUUCGGAAUAGCCGGGAGGAUAUAAUUAGAUACUUCUGCAUUAAACUUGAACACAUGAUUAAUAAAAGUUGUGCUUUUAAAUUAUUGUUCAAGAAAGCUGGAGUCCUCUUUGGUCCUUUUAUUACUCUGGUGGAGUGCCAAAGAAAAAUACUGCUUAGAAAAAGGAUGUGACAGUUGACUUUUCUAUCAAUUGGGUCUAUUAUGGCGCUCAUUUAGAGUUUUGUAAUUUAAUCGUGUGAUAAUAAUUGCGAAGACUUGUGCAUGCUUUCACAUACACCCUGUUCUUGGAUUAGAAUGACAGGUAGUGUUGGUAACAUUUUCCGAUUUAAAUUUUGUCUUUCCUCGUCUGCUCUGGCCACUAAUCUAGUAUUAUUGAUAAUCAGAAGGGAUAUUUAACUAUUUCUUAAUUCGUGAGACCUUCGAUUGGUUUCCUCAGGAACCUCAUCUAGUCAAUACCAAAAUCAUAGUACUGAUGCAAAAGCAGCUGUCUGGUUGCUCUUGCUCUUCCAAGUCAUUUCGUAGUCUCAAUUAUGAGCGAACUGUUGAAGAAUGGGGUCCCUGAUAAGAAAUCAAAAGAGAAUGGAUUUUUGAAUUCCUUGUCUCAAUCUUUUUAUCCUCAUCUGGUAUAUCUAGUAGGUAUGCUUUCAAGCACCAUUACUUGUGAAGUUGGCUACCUUCGAGUCAAUGAAAGAGAUAAAUGGGUUGUCAUAAGUUGAUGCUUCUGAGUGUAGCAACUGUUUUGCACAGAAGGUCGUGGCUAAAACCACAUUAAUGAGGGCCCGUUUGGCGCAUGUUCUAAUUGACUAGACUUAUUGGGGUUGGAAUUUCAUUGUGCACUAAAUAAAUACAUAAAUAAAACUAGGGUCAUUCUCAAUCAUCUGUCUCUUUGAUGAGUGUACAAGUAUAAACCUGCACCGACGGUAGAAGUUGAAUCAUGCCAGCAGUGGUUAGGACUUGGACAUUAUCCGCAUGUAUUGAAUAUGUUCAAAUCUAAAGGUCACGAUGAAUGAUGAUAUAAAUUAGUAGUGACUGUUUUUGGACGGAACCCAAACCUAUGUGCUUAAUCACCUGGAGCCUCUUCCAUUUGAACAUUUUAUACUUUAAUUGAAGAUCGUCAGGAAAAUUCAAAUAGUGUUAAUUAUUAGCUGCUUCUCUCUUUGUUACUCCAGUUUUAUGAGUUCCUUUUAUUUUAACUAUAUUUUUAAUGCCUGAGUUGUAUAAUGCGCUUAUAUUGGGACAGGACAAGAGAUUUGUCCAAACAAGUUUUGCUUGUUCAAACUUCAAUUUACCCAAGUUGAAGAACUCAUUUUCUGGGUUAAUUGAAAAGCAAGUAGGCACUUACAUUGGUGCUAAAUAAAUUGUCAGCUUGAUUAUCGUGAUUUAUGACUAGUUAACUUUUUCUUAAUCACCACGAUCACAUCUCUGGGUUUUUGAUUCUUACAGGUUGAGUUUAUUGUGAUUAUGCUGUGCUGUUACAUGUCUCUUGUUGCAUCCUAACGGGGAUACCAAUUUGACUCCUGAAUAACAAGGUGGACCCAGGAUCAGUUUAAUAUGGCCACGGUUAUUUAGGUCAAGGUGAUUUCGUGUUGAACAAUGUAAUGGUCCCAUAAUAGUACUCGUGGGGGUGCAGGACAAACGUCAAAACAGAUAAUUUAACAUUCUUUUUCUGUUGUUGAUGUUGACAAUCUCUAUUUUAAAGAUACUUCAAAUCUUAAUUUAAGUGGUUAACAAUUUGUCUAAAACUUUUUAUUUUGUAAAAUCUUAAACUUUGAUAUAAUUGAUAAGAGACUGCUUUCCUUGUGACUUUCAAAUAUUUUAUUAUAUUUGAGAAACCUAAAUUCUUUUUCAUUUAGGACCUGGUUGGAUCUAGAAGUGGAAAAGCAGAAACAGAAAGAAUACAGAAAGCUGGAAAAACGAAAAAUAAAUCAUUGAAAAACAUAAAAAAUAAGAUAGUUUAUCUUAAACUAUUUUCUUAAUUUUGAAGAGAUUUGAAGAUUUUUAUAAGAUUUUUUUACACUUCCUCUCAACCCAAACAAAUAAUAAAAAUAAAUGAAAUUAAAAUAAUAAUAAAAUUAAAAUUAUUAAAUAAUUUUAAUAAUUUAAUAAUAAUUUAAUAAUAAAAUUAUAAUUUGUUAACAUUUUAUAAAUACAUCAUUUUAUAAUUCUUUUUAAAUUUAUUAUAUCUAUCAUGUUUCUCACAAUUUUUCACUUAUAUAUUUUUUAAUCCAAACCAUAUUACUUUUUAUUUUCUUUGCCUUCUUUUUAACUCUCUCAAUUUCAUUCUUCAAUCCAAUCCAAAACAUUAAAAAACCUAAGAGAUUGUACACAGAUGUUUCCUUUAAUAGAAAUUCUAAAUUUUUAUUUAUUUAUAAAAUUAUUACAAAAUGUUAUCACACUUGUAUAU
This 51022-nucleotide long non-coding RNA is filed under the name Phaseolus vulgaris (common bean). RNAcentral's name for it is "long non-coding RNA (PVUL_LNC004718)". The record is from RNAcentral. Lineage: Eukaryota; Viridiplantae; Streptophyta; Magnoliopsida; Fabales; Fabaceae.